RNAcentral lists this long non-coding RNA (62306 nucleotides) under Phaseolus vulgaris (common bean). RNAcentral describes it as "long non-coding RNA (PVUL_LNC002320)". The record is from RNAcentral. Lineage: Eukaryota; Viridiplantae; Streptophyta; Magnoliopsida; Fabales; Fabaceae.
UCACUUGCUUCCCUUCAUUAUCUUAAAAACUCCAUUCACACUAAUAACUUCUAAGGUUCUGUGUAUGCACAUAAGCUAAACACGUGGUGGAAUGGGAGGUUGCUACGACCCAAAUGCAAUACCUAUUCAAGUAUUCAACAAUCAUAUUUAUUACAAUCACUUCUCUCAUUCUUACUUUCUCAAUUUUACAAAUUUCCUUCUCUAUUUUUUUUUAAUUUUAUAACGUGGGUCAACUAUAAUAAAUCAAUAAUAGAGGGGAUGAGUAGGUUCAUUGAAGUGACUUUUUUUUAUAUUUUAAGUUUCAUUACGAUUAAACAAUUCUAAAGGUGACUUUUUAUAGUUUACACUUUGGUUUGCUUCAUAUAGACUUUUCUCGAAUUUUAGCCUCUUUCUUUUUUUAAUUUACACGUGCAAGUCAAUUAUUAGUUGCGUGUCAAAUAAGCACUAAAAAUUAUAAGGUUACAUGUAAUGUGACUUGUUUAAUGUAACAUUAUGUGGUGAGUUUUUGAGAAAAAGAGAAGAUAAAAUAAAAUUUGAAAAAAAAGAAAAAUUUUCACGUUGGGAUAAUGAGAGAAAGAUCAGUGUUAUGACUUUUACAAUAUGAUGUAAAAAGUACACUUAAAUUUGAAGAAUAUCUAACUAAAUGUUACUUUCAUUCUUAAAAUUAUAUUCAUAAAAUUUCAAAGUUUUUUUGUCAUAUUUUUAUUAGCAAGAAGGGGGACACACAAACACACAUAUAAAAGGAAUAUUGAUCCAUACACAUAUAAACAGAUAGUGUUAUAACAUAUUUACAAGCUAAAUAUAUAAAUAACUAAUAACCUAAAAUGUUUUUUUCCUAAAAAUAAUUAGAAAAUUAAGUAUUUAACUCCAAGCAUCCCACCCUUAUUGUACACAAACUUGCUGAUGUACAACAAAAAGCAUGAAUAAUUUUAGCACAUAUUCUCUCACUUUUGUUUAAAGAAGCUAAGAGAGCUAUCCCACUAAAUGAAAGGUGGGUAGUUGGAGGAAUCUACCCUAGUAAGUCAUAUCCAACAUAAAAUAUUAUAUAUUGAGUAUUUUCAUUGAAUACUUCACCUUGGAAGACACACCAAUUUUGCUGCCUCCACAAAGUCCAUGAUAUAGCAAACCAUAAAAUUUUCCAUUAUGUUAUCUUCAACACCUUUUGUCUAGAGAAGUGUUGACAUAAAUGCAUUUUUAAAUCACAUGGAAGAGCAUAGAAAAAUCAACCCACUUAUAAUAGGUUUGGCAUAUAUUGUGGGCUGUAGGACAAGAGAAAAUAACAUGGCUUGCUCAUAAAAAUGGCAUAUAAUUUACUUUGGUGCUUGGACAAUGUCCCUCUACAUAAGUUGUCUUUGUUAGGUAACCUUGAACAUAAUAAGACCAUGUUGUGUUCAAUUUUGUUUCUUUGGAUGUGUUUAUAUGCAAAGUUUACAUAAUAGAGUCCUUCCCUUCCUCCCCAAUUCAAAAAAUCCUCCUCCCCUUUUUGUGAUUCCUUGUUUUAUCAAUUAAGCAAAUUUUGCAAUAAUUUUUGUUCCCAUUGCAACAAUUCUCUUGUCCAAGAGAAUCUCUAAAGCCAUGUAUUUACUUCUUGUUCUUAGAAAAAUUAAGGGAAAGGAAAUUCUACAAACUUUCUUUAUAAAUCCUAAACCCUAAAACUUAAUAGAUAAUUGGUCUAUUGGUACAACAUUUCAAUUUUGUUUCAAAUUUAGUUUCUUAUUCCCUACCCUCCUCUUAUGUAUCAAUCUAUAUUAUAUGUUGUUUGCAUAUUACUAUAUCAUGUUAAAGUUUAGUUUGCUCCUCAUUACCUACCCUUUUAUGUAUCAAUCUAUUAAACCACUUCUCAUGAAUUUGUUAAUCUGUACAUUUUUUAACAUCCCUCCACUAAGAUUUAUUCUUAUAUUCUUCCUCUCCAAUAAGGUUUUCCCCAUGUCCAUAUUUUGAUACUCACUCUAAAAAAUCCUUCUCUACCUUCCCAAAAGUAUUUCAGUCAAGAUUAUGAUGUCCUUAAUUCCUGAGUCCCAAAACUCAUUUGAAUAACACAUUUUUUCUCUAAGUCCCAAAACUCUUUUGAAUAACAAACUUUUUUUUCCAACUAACCGAUGCAUAUUACUUUGACCUUCUUUUCCACCUCAUAACAAAUUAUUUUGUAUAGAAAUCAACUUCUUAGUCACAAUCUUUUGGGAUGUAUAGAAUGAAAGAUGGAAUAAAGGGAUAACAACACUAAGAUUAAUUAAAUCAACUAAGUCUAACAUGCUUGCCAGUGAUAUAAAUAAUAAAUUUAUGUUUUCAAGGGGUUAUUUCAUGGAUGAAAUAGAUCAAAGUUUGAUAGGUAGUGAUAAUUGUUAAAUUUAUUACCAUUUUUAUAAUUCUAUUAUAAUAUUAAUAUAUUCAAUCAUGAUUUUUGGUAGAGUGAUUUAUACCAAAAGUUAUCGCUGUAGUAUGAUAUGGUUGAUUUAGUUUACUCGGUCUCUCUUACUCAACAAUUAAUACAAUACAUAAUAACAAUACUUUUUUGCAUCAAUAAUUAUUUCACUGAGAAUUAAGCUCGUAACCUGAUUUUAAUAUAAAUUAUCAAAUCAAAUAUUUACAAUUAGGUUAAAAAUUAUGUAAUAGAUUUUAAUAUAAAAAUGUUAAUGUGAUGAUGUGUACGUUAUAUGGUCAAUGUUUUAGAGCAUACACUUUUGGUUCUUGUAUUGGGGAUUAACGUUAUCUCUAGGGUGUAACUUGUUUGGCUAAAGCGAUGACACAAAUUCAACAAGUCAUGGUUAGAAGGUUCAAGAGAUAAUGUUAUUAUUUUAUAAUUAUUAUACUUGUAAAAUAUUCUACAAGUAUUCACAUUACCAAUAAAUUUAGUAAUUUUGUUAACUAAUUUUUCAAUGACUCACAGUUCACAAAUAGGAUCAGGUUUAUUUAAAUUUAGCUAACACAUUUGGCCAGUGGACCAGUGGAUCAGUGUGUGAACUUUAGUACAACUUGAUUUUUUCUUAAAAUACCACUAGCACAGAAGUAUCUUGGAAUUUAGAGUUUCAUUAUGGUUUUAUUUCUAAAAUAUAUAUAAAAAUUAUGAAAAGAAAAAUAUAAAUUAUCUUUAUCUUAACUCUUAAAUUAUCGACUUCUGAACUAUAUAAGAAUAUCGGUAAUAAUCUAAAUAUAAAGAAAAAAAUGGUGAUAAUUUACUGUACAAUUGUAUUGUACCAACUGUCAGAACCAUGCCGAAGAAAUAUAAAAUUGAAAGAAAAAUAAAAAAGCAGAAUGUGAAACAAAUGAUAUUUGUGAACGUGUGGGCCUUCUUAACCAAAAAAAUCUUCAACCACUUUACAGCGUUACCAUAAAUCAAAUUAAGAAAAUAUAAAAAUAGCAAAAGGUAUCUUCGUUGGAAAGGGUCGUGUACUCAUGUCAAUAAUCUUUAUAGAAAAAAAGUAUAUAUUUUGACGAAUAAGGAAAAAACUUGUAAUUAUUCUUCAUAAAUAAGUUUGCCAUGCUUGUUGAAGAUGAACGAAGAGUUUAGGUUCCUUUAAUAGAAAUUGAGACUUAACUUCUAUGUACAAAAGAUAAGAGGUUUAUUCCUUGAAAUUAUUCCACUUCAAUAUAAUUUUUUUUAUGAAAGAUUAAAAAAACACCGUGAAGUCAAUUAAUAAACAUUUUACCUGUUCGUUGGGUAUACAAUUGUUGACGUGUCGGUUGUCCUUAAGUUUCUUCAAGCUUUCUCUCUUUGUUGUAGGUGCUCCGUCGGUUAAGGGUACUUGCGAUUGUACUCUGACGCUCAAGUCAACACUAUGAUUUAAGUAUGUUCUCCUAGAAUAUGAAAAACGUACCUCAUUUUCUCACCAAGAGUUUUAUUUAUAAUGUUGACUCAUGGAAUUUUAUGUGUGUGGGUUGGAUAGUUAGUUAACAACUAACAUGCAUAGUGGUUCCCUGAUAUCAUGGAAGUGUACCUUUCGGUUUUACCAGUUUCUAUCGAUAUAUUGUGAUAUUCCCCUGAUAUUUCGGAGUGUGCAUUUGAUCCAUUCAACAUUACUUGUAACUGUUUAUUUACUACGUUGUAAAUGAUAUUUGUAACUGAUUUAUUACCUUGGAUGUCGGUUGUUCGAUCGUUCGGCCCCGACCGAUACACUCUUGCCCCCCAGGCUCGAAGAGAUUCAUUUAUGAAGAGUCGUGUAGGAUGGUUGGGGUUCUCGAGGUGAUGCAUGACUGCUGGCAACAUUCAAUGUGUGGCAAAGAUGUGACAUUUGGCAAUGCCACCGUUUCAAGAUGCACUGUUUCAUUAGAUGCAUUCAAUGGUGGGGAUUUCGUGUCGUUUUGGAUGCCGAGUAGUGGUGACCAUUGGAUCACGUUAGAUCGAAUGGUGUUGGAUGAAGUGUAGAGGACGCUCUCUCUUACUUGCAUGGCUAUAAAUAGCGCUUCAUUAGAACGUGGGAGGGUUUACGCUUUCCUGUUUGCUCCUAGAACUUGUGUCAUUUGCUCCAAGUGCCGAGUCCACUACUUUCUUUAAAUUGUCAAGUUUUUAGGUCACUAAUGUCUUCUUCUGAUAACGUUGUUAAUAUCGAAUCAUAUGUGACGCUUACUACGUCAGGUAGUGCGAUAGAGGGUAAUGGGUUUGACGACCCAAGUUAUAAUUGGGUUGAUCCAUCAGUGUUAAAAAUUCCCACUAGGUUGAGGGAUUCUGAUAGUUUAGACCAAGUUUUGGCUAGAAAUUCAUUUCUAAAGUCGGACUGUCCGUCAGAUGCGAUAAUGGCUGAUAUUUAUGGUCGAUAAAACGCGCCACAAGAUUUUUUCUUUGUAUAUAGUACUUUUUUCACCAAUUUGCACGUAACCUUGCCUUUUGACGGUUUUACAUUGGAGGUUCUUCGAAUCCUCAAUGUAGCACCCACUCCAUUGCACCAAAACUCGUGGGCGACCCUUCAGGCGUUCUGAGUGUUUUGUCACCUUUUUAAACUUCUGCCCACACCUGAUGCUUUUUUAUAUUAUUAUAAUACCCGUCCGAGUACUCCUGUGAGUUGGUUGUCUUUGUCUAGCUGAUCGGGCAAUAUUCGAUUUGUUGCUUUUACAACCUCAUACAAAAGUUUUAAAGAAAAGUAUUUCAAAAAUUUUGUGGAGCCGGAUGGUCAAGAUCUGUUUUAUAAUGCGGACGGUCGCACCAAAUUUCCUUUCCAUUGGACGGAGAAUCCGACCCAGCUUGGUAAUUGGUUGUUGUCAUCUAUGUCACCAUUGGACAAAUCAAUUUUGGUAGUUUUUGAUCAACUUUCCUAGAACCUUCCACCCGAGAGUUAAUAGUUUUACAUGGGUCAUCCAAGAAGUGGGUAGAUUUCAAUGGUAUGUAGAUUUUCUACAUCUAACGGUGUAUUCGUUAUAUUGAUGUGGGUUAAUUUUAUAUGUACUUUGCAGCUAUUAUCUUUCGGAUGGAUCUGGCUCUAAGCAAGUUCAUGAGUAAUUUGAAGCGAUAAGCAACCAAACAGAAGCUCAGAAGCUUUAAGGGGAUUCAGAAAGAAAAAGUUAUUACCCAAGUUAAAGUUAUCCCUGCCACUACUUCGAUUCCACCGGUAGCUAGUCGAAAGAGCGAUCGUCCGCCUAAGGUCCAAGCUGGUCCUGAGGCCAGGCAGUCUUCCAUCAGGUAGCCUUCCAUGCUAAGCCCUUCGAUGCAAGUGGCACAGGCGGUACAAUUUGACUUGCUCCUGAAAGAUGAAGGUGUAUUGGCGACCAUACCAACUAGAAACUUGAUACAAGAAUUAGUUGAAUUGCAAAGUAGGCUACUGUCGUGGGUAAGACGCUUGGUGAGGAAUUAAACAGGACCAGUACAGUACUAGUGCCUAAGUUGAGGGACAAGUUGGGGGAAUCGGCUAAUUCUUUGAAGGCGGCCUUGGAGGCUGUCGAGGCUUGUAGAGAAAAUAUGUGAAAGGAUGAAUUGGUGGCCAAAGAAUUACAAGAGGCGUUAAAGGCACAUCUUACCAAAGUGGAGGCUGAAAGAGAUCAGCUUCUAAAAGAGAAAGUUGACCCCGAGGAUAAAGAAAAAUCCCUCACUGCCAAGAUAGAGAGGUGCCAGGAGUUUAUGUUAAGAAUAAAUGAAAAGAGUUUUUAUCAGGGUAUCCAGCAGACAGCUUUUUAUCAUGGCGUGCUAAUGGAGGACCUUUGUUAUGAUUUGAACAAAGAUGUAACAGCGAGCUGGUGCCACUUGGUGGGAAUGUCAUGGAUGCUAUGGAAGAGGAAGAACCUCAGCGUAUCGAGGUGAUCAAGCCAGAGCCGCUGGUCGACGAGAUAAUAUAGUGAAUUUGAAAACCUGGACCAAGGUUAACAAUCUUUAUUAUCGCAUUUUUACUCUUAACUGCAUAUGAAUGACUGAAUAUCUUUUAUUCUUGCUUUUAUAUAUUCGUUAUAUGGCUUUGUUGAAUGACUAGAUUUGAGCAAAAUACUUGUGUUUAACGUUAAUAAUCUUUGAGCCAAGCGAGUGGUAAAAUUAGUAAGUUAUUAACAAAUUUUAGACCCUUAGAGCGGUAGAAUAAUAACCAAGUUAUGAUCGCAUUUCAGACCGACAAACCAGUUAGAAUAACCAAGUUAUUAUUUAAUUUCAUAAUGAUAGACCAGUAUAGUGACGAAUUUAUGAUUGAAUUUCAGACCGACAGACCGGUUAGAAUAACCAAGUUAUUAUGGAAUUUCAGACUGAUAGACCAAUAGAGUAACGAAGUUAUGAUUGAAUUUCAAAUCGAAGGAUUGGUUAGAAUAACUAAGUUAUUAUUGAAUUUCAUAUUGAUAGACCAGUAGAAUAGCAAAGUUAUGAUUGAAUUUCAGACCGACGGACCGGUAAAAUAAUAACUAGUUGAGAUGUGUCGUAUGGAUGCAAUGUAAAAUAAAGAAAGUGAUGUAAGACUGAAGUGUUUCUAAAGUGCCUCGUUAAAACCUUCCCGAUCGAAAACCCUCAUUAGGGAUAAAACGGUCGAGCGAGGAAAGAGUACACUAAUAAAGUUUAUCAGCUGUAAUAGAAUUUGAGAUACGUGGCAUUCCACAUUCUCGGUACAGAUUUUGCUGAUAAAUAUUCUAAGUAGUAAGCACCUCCUGCUCCUGUGUCGGCAAUUCGAAAUGGCCCUUCCCAAUUGCUGAAGAAUUUUCCAUCCGUCUUUCGGGCGUCACUGCGCAUGCGCCACACUAAAUCUCAUUGUCGCCCGUAAUUUGCACGCUUCCUCCGUUAUCUUGCAUUGAUCUCUAAGUUUGUUGAUGAGGUCGAGACCGACCAACAGACUCUCCUUGUUCAAGUCUAAAUCCAAUGUUUGUCAUUGUAAGGAAGGUUCUCCUACUUCGACAAGUAUCAUGGCUUUUGUACCAUAAGUUAGGCUAUAUGGUGUUUCUUGGGUCGUAGACUGUGGCGUGCAGCACUAGGCCCAUAAAACCUCGAGCAGUUCUUCCGUCCAGUUACCUUUUGUUGGACCAAGUCUCUUUUCUAAUUCAUUGAGGAUGAUUUUAUUGGCCGUUUCUGCCUGAUCAUUUGUUUGUGGGUGCUCUACUGAGCUCGUAAUGUGUUUGAUGUCGAUUUUUUCGUAGAAUUAAGCGAAUCCUUGGUCGGUAAACUGUCAGUCGUUGUCGAUGAUGAUAAUGUGGGGUAGUCUGAAUCAACACACGAUAUUUUUCCAAACAAAAUUUUGGACGUUCCGUGCAGUCCAUUUAGUGAAGUAAUCUAUGGCGACCAGCAAAAAAUUGCAUUGCCCUUUGCCUAAAGCAAAUGGUCCAAUGAUGUUCAUCCCCCACUUCACAAAUGGCCACGGGGAGAGAAUGUAAUGGAGAUUCUUGGGUUUUUGUGAGAUAUGCUACCAUAUUCUUGGCAUUUCACACAUUUUCAUACAAAGUUGGUGCAGACUCCUUGCAUGGUCUACCAGUAAUAACCUGUCCAUAGUACUUUGGCUGCCAUUGUUCAUGCUCCGGAAUGAGUUCCAUAGACCCCUUCGUGUAUUUCGCGCAUGACAUACUUGACCUGCUCAAAAGUAAGGCAUUUGAGAAGCGGACGAGUGUACCCUCGUCUGUAGAGCUCUUAAUCUAUCAGGAGGAAUCGAGCAGUCUGUUGCUUCAUCAUUUUUUCGGAGUGUGCUUCAGAUAUUCCAUCCGUUAGAUAUUGUUUGAUGGGUGUCAUCCAGUUGAGUUGGGUAUCAGUCGUCAUGCAUUCUUCGACACCUACACUUGGGUUAGUUAAAGUCACAUAAAUAACUGACCGAUGAGUUCCUUUUUUCCUGGCGGUUGCUAAUCGGGAGAGCGCAUCGGCUCUAGUAUUAUUUUCUCGUCCAUCAUGCUGAAUUGAUACCUCGUCAAACUUAGUAAUUAAAUUUCGUAUGAAAUGAAUAUAUCGUUGCAGUAAUGCUUCUCGGACUUCAAAUUCUUCGUUCAACUGUCCGACCACCAAUCAAAAAUCGCUCUUGCACUUCAAGUUCUUCAUUUUUAAAUCAAUGGCCAAGUUAAGACCGAUUAUGAUGACUUCAUACUCCACUUGAUUGUUUGAGGCUUUGAACUCAAACUUGAUGGCUUGCUCGAUAAGAGUAUUAUUUGGUCCUUCUAGAACCACCCUGGCACCGCAUGAUCGACUAUUCGAGGAUUCGUCAACAUGCAGUGUCCAUUGGGAAGUUUUGGUCGUAAUGGACUGGGGACUGAGUUCAGCCGCAAAAUCGUCGAGAGCCUAUGACUUAAUUUCUCCUCUGGGUUGAUACUGGAUGUGAAAUUUUGAUAAUUCGAUAGCCCAUCCAAUCAUUCGGUCGGCUAAAUCUAGUUUUGCCAAAAUUUUGACAAUGGGCUAAUCAGUCCUUACUAUGACUUGAUGGUUCUGAAAGUACAUGUGCAUUCGGCGAGCAGUCAUAACCAAAUCUAGCACAACUUUCUCAAUCAUUUGGUAUCGGACUUAUGCGUCAUGGAGAACUCAGCUAACAAAAUAAACAGUUCUUUCUUUGGUUCCUACUUCUUGUACCAAAACUGAACUUACUGCAUCAUUUAAGACAGUCAGGUAAACAAUGAUGGGUUCUUUGGCGUUUGGUUUGUGUAUGACUGGAGGAGAUGCCAAAAAUUAUUUUAACUGGAGAAAAAUUUGUUCACAGUUGUCUGUCAAUUCAAACCUGGACGCCUUUUUCAACAGUUGUACAAUAAGCUUUCUUUUCUCUACAGGUUUUGGCACGAAACAGGAAAGUGUCGUGAGUCGGCCGACCAACCUCUGAAUUUCCUUGAUGUUGUUAGGGCUUCACAUCUCGAUGAUAGCUCGACACUUUUCGGGGUUGGCUUCUAUUCCUCGAUGGGUGAGCAUAAAACCCAAGAACUUUCAUCCCUCUACGCUGAACGCACACUUGUCGGGGUUAAGGCGCAUACGGUAUCUGCGAAGAGCUUGGAAGACUUCCUUCAGAUCCAUUAUAUGUUGUUUGCAUGAAUCGGAUUUGACGAUGAUGUUCUUCCAAUCAUAUCCUGAAAGACAAAAUCCAUUAACCGCUGGUAAGUGGCUCCCACACUUUUGAGACCGAAGGGCAUGACUUCAUAAUAAAAGUUGUUGGAGUCGGUCGUAAAUGCCUUCUUUUCUUUAUCUUGCGGGUGCAUUUGAAUUUGAUUGUUCCCAAAAUAUGCAUCAAGGAAACUGAGAAUGCUAUGACCAAUCGACGAGUCGAUCGAUGGUUGGUAGGGGAUAAGAGUCUUUGGGGCAUUGGUAUAAUCUACACACAUCCGCCACUUGCCAUUGGAUUUUUUUACCAUGACUACGUUGGCCAACGAUGUGGUAUAGUGAGCUCUUUGAAUAAAACCUUAUUUCACCAAUUUGUCGGUUUCUUCUCGGGCGAGCUUACGUCGUCCCUCCCCUAACUUUCAUUUAUUUUGGGCUAUUGGUCGGGCUUCCUUAUAAACGAAGAGGCGGUGGGUAAUGACAUUGGGACUUACUCCAGGCAUAUCUGCAACAAUCCAAGCAAAUAAAUCAGAGUUUUUAACUAGGGUCGUGCUCAUUAACUUCCAACCGUAUGGGUUUAGGGACGAUCCAACAUAAGUUUUAUGUUCAUCAUCUUGAAGGGGUAAGGGUUGUAGGUCUUCACCUGCCUUCAUACGGGCAGCGUCAAGCCGAGGAUCUAAAUCUACUAAGGCAACCAUGUGUUCUUCCGGAUACCUGUAUCGGGAGUGUCUCUCUGAUGACCGCCCCCGUCGUCUUGGAGACUUGUUAUGCGAUGACAUCGUGUAUAAUCGUCUGGUCGAUUCAACCUUUAGGCUAGCAACAUAACAUUCCCUAGUUAUCCUUUGGUCUACAUGUACUGUCGCAAUAUCUCCGGUCGUGGAAGGGAAUUUCAUUGCCAAAUGAGGGGUGGAGACUAAUGAUUUCAGGCGAUUAAUGGACGAACGUCCGAGCAAUAUGUUAUAUGAGGUAUUUGCAUUGACUAAUAGGUACCUGACAUUUAUGGUUUUACUGAGGUUUCCUUCCUCUCCAAAAGUAGUGAACAAAUCGAGAUAUCCUUUUGUAUCAACUCACUCACUUGAGAACCCGACAAUCUGCUUCUCAUAAGGUUGUGUGUUUGUUUAUGGAAUUCUCAUCUUUUUGAAAGUUUUCCAAUAAAUAAUGUCGACUGAGUUGCCCUGAUAUACCAAUACUUUAGUGAUUGUAAAUUUGUCUAUAUCCAUGGUGAUUACUAUAGGGUCGUCUUGUGUUGGGUCUAUUGCAGUAAAGUCGUCAUCUGUGAAUGUUAUUGAGGGGAUUCUUGGUCACUUUUGAGCAGAAGUGGAGUGGAUCGACUGAAUAGCUCUAAGAUGUUUUUUCCUGGCAGAAUUAAAGCAACCACCACAUGCAAAGCCUCCUGCUAUAUAGUUGACUGUUUCAUUAAGUGCACUGAGUGACACGAGGUCGGCUAUAGUGUUGAUAACUUCUCGUAUUCUACGUCUGGUACGAUUAUUCCUAUCAGGGCUUUCACUCCUUGGUUGAGCUCUUCUGACUGAGCUCUUCUGACUGAGCUCUCGCUUCGUUUUUGUCAUGUCGGACGGUGAUGAUUGUCGCAGCUUCGAGUAUCUCUUCUUCCGAGGUGUUCACGGUCUUUGGAAGAUUGAUUAAUAUCUCGUUGUGGCGAUCGGGAAGUAGUGAUGGUUGUCUUAACGAACUUGCGAAGAUGGUCGGCUUGGAUAAGUUCCUCUAUUUUAUCUUUCAAUGCUUGCCAGCUUUCGGUUGUGUGGCCAUAACUGCGAUGAUAUUGACAAUGUUUUGAAGUAUCGACAUUGCGUGGAGUCUGUGCUUGCUUAAGUGUGGGAAUUAAUUCGGUCUGCAAAGCUUCAUCCAAGACUCUUCCUCUUGGCAUCGUCAAAGGUGUGUAGUUGUGAAAGCGAGAGCCUCGGUUCUGUCUAUAUCAGUCGAUUCCCACCACUAAGGGUUAGUUGCUUUUAUUUUUUUCUUUAUCUUUUUCCUUUUUGGAGGCCUCAGCUUGUGCAUUCCUGUGAUAGUCAAUGUGUUCCUCUAUCUGCAUGAAUUUAGUGGCUCGUGUCCUUAAUUCUUCCAUGUUUUGUGUCGGUCUCUUAAUAAGACUCUCAGUGAAACGUCUUGGAUGUAUGGCCGAGACUAAGUAGUGCAUUGCUAUUUCUGGGUUCAAGUUUCUAAUUCCCAUACAGACUUUGUUGAAUAUGUCCAUGAAGGUUCUCAAAGAUUCUCCUUUUUCUUACUUCAAAUUUAGGAGAAACAUAGAUGAAGUGUGGUGAGGUCGGCUUGUCGCAUAUUGUGUGGUGAAUUUCGUUGUCAGAACUUUGAAGUUUUUAACAGAAUUUGAAGGAAGUCCAGUGAACCAUCCUAACGGACCCUCCUGAAGGGAGGUGGGGAAAAGUUUACACCACACUGCUUUGUUGGUUGUAUACAAGGUCAUUUGGGUUUUGAAAAUAUUCAAGUGGUCGUCCGGAUCAGUAGAAACAUCAUAAAGUUUGAUAGUUAGACCUCUCCAUUUAUCGGGGAGUGGCACGACAAUUAUUUCGUUUUUGAAAGGAUGGCCUUUCUGGUCUUCUUCAUCAUUGAGAGCAACGUCAUUUUUGGAACUUUGGUGGGUCUGAUGUGUUUGGAGGGUUUGAGGAGUCUGAUAGGUUUGAGGGGUUGGUGGUAAUGUUCUGGAUUGAUGAGUGUGUGGUGGUAACGGUGUACGAGAGUGUUCCUCUUGUUCGGGUCCUUUAAGUCGCUGUAGUCGUUUUUUGUUUUGUACCUUUAGAAGAGAUACAUCUUCCGCUUGCCAUCUCCAGUCUUCUUCUUGUCUACGCCGAUCCUCUUCAUGACGUAGCUGAUCUGCAAUUCCCUUUUGUUGUAAUUCCUCCAUUUAUGCUUGGAGGACAUGAAUCAUUGUUGUUUGUUCGUCUGCUAUACGGUCACUAUUUGCAUUGUUUCUUGUUGACACCAUCGUUGUUGUUAAGUUUUUUGUUGAAAAUUUGAAGAUUACCUCAGCCCCACGGUGGGCGCCAAUUGUAACUGUACGGGGUGGAGGGGCCUAGGUAAUACCUGUCCGUUGGGUACACAAUUGUUGACGUGUCGGUUGUCCUUGAGUUUCUUCAAACUUUCUCUCUUUGUUGUAGGUGCUCUGCCGGUCGGAGGUACCUGCGAUUACACUCCGACGCUCAAGUCAGCGCUAUGAUUUAAGUGUGUUCUCCUAAAAUAUAAAAAAGCGUACCUCAUUUUCUCACCAAGAGUUCUAUUUAUAAUGUUGGCUCAUGGGUUUUUACUUGUAUGGGUUGGGCUGGAUAGUUAGUUAAGAACUAACAUGCAUAAUGGUUCCCUAAUAUCAAAGAAGUGUACCUUUCGAUUUUAUCUGUUUCUAUCAUUAUAUUAAAAUAUUUCCCUGAUAUUUCGGAGUGUGCAUUUGACCAUUCAACAUUACUUAUAACUAUUUAUUUAUUACGUUGUAAAUUAUUUGCACUUACCCGGUCGUCCAGUCCGACCUGUACCAUUAUACUUGUAAAAUAUUCUACAAGUAUUAUUAUUAUAGAUUCACAUUACUAAUAAAUUUAGGAAUUUUGUUAACUAAUUUUUCAAUGACUCACAGUUCCCAAAUAGGAUCACGUUGAUUUAAAUUUAGCUAACACAUUUGGCCAUUGGACCAGUGGAACAGUGUUUCAACUUUAAUAUAAAUUAAUUUUUUCUUAAAAUACCACUAGUACAGAAGUAUCUUGGAAUUUAAAGUUUCAUUAUGAUUUUAUUUUUAAAAUAUAUAUAAAAAUUAUGAAAGGAAAAAUAAAGUUUAUCUUUAUCUUAACUCUUAAAUUAUCGACUUCUGGACUACAUAAGAAUAUCGGUAAUAAUCUAAAUAUAAAGAAAAAACUGGUGAUAAUUUACUGUACAAUUAAAUUGUACCAACUGCCAGAACCAUGCCGAAUAAAUAUAAAAUUGAAAGAAAAAAAAAAAGCAGAAUGUGAAACAAAUGAUAUUUAUGAACGUGUGGGGCUUCUUAACUAAAAAAAUCUUCAACCACUUUACAGCGUUACCAUAAAUAAAAUUAAGAAAAUAUAAAAAUAGCAAAAGGUAUCUUCGUUGAAAAGGGUCGUGUACUCAUGUCAAUAACCUUUAUAGAUAAAAAGUAUAUAUUUUGACGAAUAAGGAAAAAGCUUGUAAUUAUUCUUCAUAAAUAAGUUUGCCAUACUUGUUGAAGAUGAACAAAGAGUUUAGGUUCCUUUAAUAGAAAUUGAGACUUAAUUUUAAGUACAAAAGAUAAGUAUUAUAAGAGGUUUAUUCCUUGAAAUUAUUCGACUUCAAUAUAAUUUUCUGAAAGAUUAAAGAAACAGCUUACACGUAAACGGUGAAGUCAAUUAAUGAAGUGAAAAAGGUAGUAUAGUGACUACGGUAUUUUGGAAAGAUUCUUACCUUAUCACUUAACGGGAUAAUACUCCUAAAAUGUUUGAUUUGAUAGAAGCUAGAUGUAGAAUCGUAGAAUCACUUUUGCAAUAGCUUUUUGACGUGAAAAGUACUCAGAAACACGAACAAAACGCGCAACCAAACACGGAAACACUUGCCUCAUUUGUGUCUAGAUUUGAAAAUAAGUAGGGAUGAAAAUUUCUUUUUUUAUUUGGUAAUUUUAAAAUAAAAGAUUAAAUAUAUGAAAGUAGUGUUAUAUUACAGAAAGAAAAUAUGUACAAAACUCGUGUUCAACUUGACUAUAACUAUGAAACUAUAUAGAAGAUCAAUUAAAGUUUUUUUUUAACAUGAUAGGGUUUUUUUUUUUUUUACCAAAAUAGGAUCCUUUUAAAAAAAUUACAAAUUUAGGCAAGUCGUGUCUAAUUGGACGACUUCAUAUGCAGAAGUCGUUUCAAUUAGGUACGACUUUUGCCAUGUCAUACUAAAGUCGUGCCAACUUGGCACGACUUCUGCCCUGUCAUACUGAAGUCGUUCCAACUUAGCACGACUUCUGUCCUGUCAUACUGAAGUGAAGUCGUGUCAACUUAGCAUGACUUCUGCCACCUCAUAAAUUUUUUUUAAAUUUUAUUGUUUAUAUAUUGGGUAGUAAGUUAUGUAAUGUUCAAAAUUAAUUUGAUACAUAAUUUUCUAAGAGUGUUAGUUUUAAGGAACAAAAAAUUGGAAAAUCGUGUAUGGAUCAUGUUUGACGGUAAUGUAAUACAAUAACUUGAUUAUUUGAUUAUCCAAUUUUUUGUAAUUUGUUUAAACGGACCCCAUUUUAAUAAAAACCAAAAAAAAUAACCCAUCUUGGUAAAAAAUCCCAAUUAAAUCCAACUUAAUUACUAAAAUUUAUUUUUAUUACUUAAAAAAAUUAUAGGCCUAAUACAAUUAAAUUCUUAACUCCAAAUCAAAGUAAAUUUCCAUAGUUAAAUUCGUAAACUUAUCCAAUCAAUAAUCCUAAACUCUUGCUACAAAAUUAUGAUUAAAUGUCACACACUCAAGAAAGAAAUUUUAUAAAUUCAUACUCUUAAAAGUACAACAACAACAGCACAACCACUAUAAAAAAAAAUACUAGCCCAAUUAAUCUAAAACCCAACAACUAAAAACCACUGACUACAUCAUUCAUAUUCAAACACAUACAUUAUGCAUACGAAUAUAAUUUAUUAGGUCAAUGCUUAAACAUUAAAUUUAAUUAUCGUUUUCAAAUUAUUUUACAUAUUUAUAUUAAGACACAUAAAAAAAACAAUACCCCUUAAUUAAGAGACACAAGUUGCCACUACUUAUAAUAAACAGCGUGAUGUCAAAUAUUUAAUAUUUAAAUAUGAAAUAUAAUCCUACUUUUAAUUUUUUAUUUAGUUGGAUUGCAUUUUUGGUUUUUUAAUUGUCGGUUUUUAGUUUUUCUUCUUUAGUUUUUUUUUUUUGUAAUGUUGGUCUCAUAUUUUAAAAAAAAAUCAGAAAUUUUGAGUAUAUUUUAUUUUUUUAUAUUGACUAUAAAUUUAACAAAUUUCUUUCAUAUAUAUAUUAUAAGAAACUGAAUUCCGAUUUUACAAAAAUGACUCAUAAGAUGAUUUACACUUACUUAUAUACACUAAGAAAAUCAUAAAAUCAGUUUUAGAUACAAAAAUAAUUAGUUGUUAUUGUGACUAAAUUAGAGACCAUUUUAAAAAUUAAAAUAAAUUUUUGGUUUCUAAAUUAGUUUCUAUUGUUGUUAAAUAGUUUCUAAAUUGGUAUCUAACUAGCUAUCAAAGUUUUAACUACCAAUUAUUCAGAUUCUAAAUUUGGUAGCAAAAACAUUGGUAGCUUAUUAGAUACCAAUUUAGAAAUCAUUGAAUGAUAAUAGAAAUUAAUUUAGAAACUAUUUUUUUUUAAUUUUUAAAAUGGUUUCUAAUUUAGUCACUAUAAAAAUUUAUUUAUUUUUCUUUAAAAUUAGUUUCUAUUUUAUGAUUUUUUUUAAUAAUAUUUAUUCUUAUUUCUAGUUAAUAUUAAAUUCUUAUUGUAUUAUUUUUAUACAUAAAAUUAUAUAUUUACAAAUGAUUCAAUAGUAAAGUCCAACAAAUUUUUAUUAUAAUAAAUUUUAAAAAAACCUAAUAUCAUAACAAGAAUUAUAUUUUAAAAAUUUAUAAAAUAAAAUUUACAUUCAUUUAUAUAUUUAUAAAAUGUCUAUUUUUAUUAUUUAACGUGAGAUUUAUAAAAAGAUAUCAAUAAAAGACACGAAAACUAAUUUAAAAAGGAUAUAUAAAGAUAAAAACACAGCCCACGUGAUGGUUCAUAACAGCUUUGAAAAGUGAUAAACAACCUAUCUAAUUUCUUAGUUAGCUAAUAACUUGUCCUUUUGAAAGCUGAAAGGUCGUAUUGGGCAAUGGCCAAUUAUGAUCUUGUUUAUGUACCUCGUACGGAUAAACUACAAGACACAACCAAGUUCAUAUAUCAUCCAAUGUAUUGUUUAUCGAUGACAUAAGCACCUAUAAACUCUCAUAGGUGAUAACUGAUAAGUUCAUAUCUGUUCCGAUGCACCACGUGUCCACUACACAUCAUAAAACUUCAUUAUUAUAUGCAAGCUUUUGAGCUUUUCCAUGUAAUAAUGCCCAUUUUCUUAUUGUUCUUAAGUGGGUGAGUAGAAUAAGUUUUCCAAGAUCUAGUUGCAUCCCCUUUUGCUCAAUUAUUACAAUAAACAAUUCACCUUAUUUCAUCAUCAUGCUUUCUUUCUUUCUUUUCUCGUCUUGCAUUUUUCAUCUCAUCAACAAUGCCAGAUAGUGGAAAGUGUUGCUCCUAAUGAGACCCCACUUCUUCUCUCUCCCAUUUUCUUUUCCUUUUCUUCGAAUAGUAAUGCUUUAGGUUCUAUUACUAAUGUUACAACAUAAUGAAAAUUUUCUUUUUUAUGAAUGAUGAAGAAGUCUUUAAUUUUACAACUAAAGUGCUGUUAAAAAUUAGAAAAUAAAAAAUAUGUUUUAUUGUUUUCUAUUUUAAAUUUAUUAGUGUUUCUCUUAGGGAGAUGAGACCUAGAAAACGGUUGACUAACUUCGUUUUUCUCCAUCCUAUCGGGCAGUCUGCUAGAACUUCAACUUGUUCUUUUCUCGUUUUAGCGCUACUCCUUCAGGUCUCGAUCACUCUAUCUCAGGUGAAUGUCGAAUGAGGGUACCUGCAGAAGGCACUCCAACGCUCAAGUCAGCAAAGAGUACUUGGCGCUUGGUUGUCAGAGUAUAUUCAGUAAUGACGUCCCUUGUUCUUAGAAUGUGCGUUGUUUAUAUUAUUUUAAUGGGCUUACUUUAUUGGGCCAAAUUAGUGGAGUGGAUCGUGCUUAGGGACAUAUAUGCGUAUACCUAAUUCUUAAUGGUGGUUCAGUUUUGUUGACUUUGAUUUGAGCGCUAAUGAGUUGGAUGUGUUGGUCGGUCCGCACGGAUGUGCUGGGCUCGAUCAGCUCGGUCAUCCAGACCGAGUUAUGGUAUUGACCGUUCGGUCCAUACCAGUACAAUUAGUAUUUUAUUAUGGUUUUAUUUUUAAAAAUCAACUCAAACGAUUAAAAUAUUUAUUUAUUUAUAUAUAUUUAAAAAUUAUUAACUUAACUCUUAAGGGAUAUAUAAUAUAUAAUAAUUAGUUUUCGAAACUAAGAACAUAUAAGUUAUCAUUCUUAUAUUGGAUUCAUUAAACUAGUGUAUAACUAUUAAGAUGAUGUAACUAGAAAAAAUAAACUAAUAAGGGAAAAGUAUUGAAAUUAAAAGAUACUCAAAUAUAGUGGAACAUAUUGAUAUAUAAUAAUAUGUGGUGUUCUAUGAAAGUAAAGUAUAAGAUUUAAAAAAUAUAGGUAGAUGGUUGGUGACUUGUUUUUUUUCUUCUGAUAAAUAAAACUUAAAAAGGGUGAUAGGUUAUAGCAUUUAAGGAAAGGGUAUUAUUGAAGAAAGUGGAUAUAAUAUGAAAUUGUCACUUAUCAAUGAGUUUCCACGACUCCACGUGCAAAAAUCAAAUAAAGACUUUCUGCCGACAGCAAUUUCAGCCAACCAAUUGCAUAAACAAUUAAUGACUUUCUAUUUCUUUUAAACUAAGAAAGUUUAGACACGGAAAAGGUUAAGUUUUUCAUAAUUCAAAUAAAACUUUAUACUUAUUUUUAUUUUUAAUAUCUAAUAAAUAUAAAAUUAAUGGAUAACGGUUCGUAACGGAACUUAUUCUCUUAAAUAUUAAAAACUAACGUCAUAAAAAAAUAACGUAAAAAUUACUUUUUUUUUCUUAAUAUUAAAUGUUCUUCUAUGAAGACUUGAGUCUUUUCAACCGAUGAAAUAAAUUAUUUCUUCGUGAUCUUCUUUUCUUUAAUAUUCAAGUAAAUGUUUGGUUGUUGAUGUAAUAAAUAUUAUAAUAAUAAUUUAUAUUUAUUUUAGUUGUUCUGUUAUAUGAUGAGUCUUUUUACUAUUAAACUAAGAUAUAUUAUGAUUAGAAAUAUGUUAUCUAAAUUUUUAUAUUAUUUAAUUUAUAUUAAUAUAUUUUGAUAUUAAUGUAUUUUUUAUGGCGGUUGUUACGGGGUAUUCAGGACCAUUUGACCCUUAACAGUACACUAAAUAAAAUAAAAAUUUAUAAUUAUAUAACUUUUAAAGUAUGUUAAAUGAAAAAAUAUAUAUUUUAGCAAUUUGAAUUAAAAAUAAAUAGACGACGAAGAAAAAUUUGAUUUACAUAUUCUCGUCCCACUUUUGUAAUUAAUUAAAAUAGUUAAAAUUUAUAUUCAUAUUUAGUGAAUCAAGUAUUCUUCAACAAAAUGUAUAAGCAUAAAGUAUUGUUUAUUACAAAAUUACGAGAAGAUUGUGAGAGUUAAUGUUAACAAUGCAAUAACUCAUAUAAUAUCGUUUUUAUUUCUUAAUCAUAUUAUUUAUUAUAUUUAUAUUAUUUUUCUUCUCUCUCAUUUGUUUAAUUUAUCAUGAAAAUAACGUUUUUCUCUUUUGUUUUACUCUACUAACUGACGAGUUGCAAGUUCUGAUAAUUAGAUAACGAAACUAAAUUUGGACGGACCAAUUUGACGCGAUAAAAUUGAAUUAUUUAAUGUUGUAUUGAAAAUUAUGUUUUUAUUUAUAACGAGGCAACUUUCGUAGACAACCUUAUCUUUUCAUAUAAUUCCAUGUCUUUUGUGACACACAUUUUUAAGUUUUCAUUAUAAAUCAAAUUAAUAUUUUUAGUUAGUUAUUUCAGUCCAAGCAAAAAAAAAAAAAUACCCUCAAUUCUUUUUAAUUAACAUUAGGCAGAAAUAGGAUAUUAUAACAAAUUGUCAUUAAGAUAAUUUUGAAUAAUUUAAUCAGAUUUCUUUAGAUUUAAAGAAAUUGAAAGUUUCAAUAAAAUUGAUAAUUUUUUUAUUCAUUUUAGUAUUUGGAUAAAGUCUAUAUAGCACACUUCUCCUUCUUUUUCAUUCUGGUACUUGUUAUCUAUAUUCGUUUGAGAGUGAUUCGGUUAUCCGACGAUCAAGUAAAUAUUCUAUAUAUUAGAAUGAGUAAUAUAUUGAUAAAAGUGUACCUUAUUCUUAUGUGAUUGUGCUUAUUUAUAUUGUUUUAUGUCGUUUAUGGAUCGGAUCUAAUAUGUAUCUUUAAUAAAAGUAAUUAUCAUAUGUUUAUCGGAUUUAUAGUAUGAUACCUGAUUUAUUUCGUAUCUCUUUAUUUUCUAUUAAUGUAACCAAUUUCGACUACUGAUAUUGAAUGACAUGACUCAUUUGACUCCGACCGAUACCAAAAUUAUUUUAUUUUUAAUAUACGAACCAGAUAUUAUUUUCUAAAAUAUAUGAAUAUUUAUAACAAAAUAGAAUGAGAAUUUUCUUAUUUAAUAUAUAUAAUUAUUUUUUUCAAAAUUAUCCUUAAGUAUUCUGCUAACUUUUAUGGAAUCAUUAUAUUUUUUUUCUUUUAGUAUUUUUUACAUUGAAAAGAAAACGAAGAUAAAUUAAAAUAUAUUUUAAAAGUUUAUUUUUUUAACUUUUUUAUUCUAAUAUUUAAUAUAAUUCAUAUUAUUUAUAAAGAAUUUCAAAAGUACAAAUGUUCCUAGCAACAACAUCAUAAAUUCUUCUACAUCUAAGCUACACUUAAAAAAAAUAAUUUAAUAAUAACUAAUUUAGAGACAAAAAAUAAUUAGUCAUUAAUAUGACUAAGUUAAAUAUUAUUUUAUAAUUUAAAAAUAUUGAUAUAUAAAAUAAUUUAUAUUAUUAAUUAAAAUUUUAUAAAAUAAUUUUUAAACUAUAUCAAACAUUAGUUAUCAAAUUUUUAGCCACUAACUACUUUAUAUUUUAAAAUAGUUUCUAAUUUUAAAUUAAAAACUAAAUUAUAAUCUAAAAUAGUUAAUAGCUAAAACUUUUAUAAUUAUCUUUGAUACCGAUUUAAAAACUAUUUUAUAUUUUUUAUUAAUAAAAAACUACUUUAAAUAUCAACUAUUUUUUAAUUUAUAAAUUAAUAUCUAAUUUAGUAUUUUUAUUGUCUUUAAAAUUAGUUACUAAAUAUUUUUUUUUUAGUAAUAUGACAAUAUUAGAUCCUACCAUUCCAUAAAUGAUCUUUCAUUAUACCUCAAUCUUCCUCAAACAUGGUUUUGUUGGUGACAUUGUAAAGAGAUGAAUGAAGAAGAAACGUAAGCACAAUGUUGGUCUUGGUAAAGAAUAAUGGGUCAUGGAAGCAUCAUGGUUGUUGCAAGGGAAGUUUAGUUGGAGAAUAAGUUAAGUAUAGUUAUAUUGUGGCACUCGACAUUAAGCUAUAACUUUGUUUAGUUGGAGGGGAGAAAAGGUCAAAAAGUGAGAAUUAUAGAAUUUUAUAAGAUGAUAAUUGUACCUAAACUUGUGUGUUGCCCUUUAUACAAAUUAGGAAAUGCAGAUCUUAAUUAUAUCUGAAAUGAACCCAGAAAAAUUAUUAAGGAAUUAACCAACAUGGAACACAGGGCCAACACUAAUAAAGUAAUUCCACUUUCCAUCGUGAUGCAACAGAUAGCCACAUAACCACCAAUAAAAGAAGAAUGUCACUAACUGGUGGACACAGUUUUGUUUUGUUUUUUUUUUCUCAUGGAAACUCCUUUUUCCUUGCAAUAAAAGUACUGCCAAAUAUAACGCCGUUUGGAUCAAUUAAAGUACCUCGUACCUACAUCAUAUAUAUAAUGUCUCCUUCAUUUUGUAUUUAUAAAUACACACUCCGUAUAAAGUUGUAUUUCUAAUAUUUCUAUAAGCACAUUAUGUUGAAAUCACAUACGUAUUCAAUUCAUAUUAUACUCCAACUUCCCCCAUUUUUACCCUAAAAAGAUAAAUGCGCCUACCCUACAACACAAGAUGUGUCUAUAUUUUAUUAAGGAACUACUUUCUUUGAUAUAAAAUACAUAUGGAUGCAUCUUAAAAUUAGGUUCAAUUACCUAUCUAGCACUAUUUACAUUUUUAUUUUCCCAUCUAACACCUUUUUGUUUUUAUUUUUCUAUCUAACACCCUUUUGUUUUUAUUUUCCUAUCUAUCACCCUUUUGUUUUUAUUUCCCUAUCUAGCACCAUUUCAAAAAUAAAUUAAAAAUAAUUGAUAAUUUUAAUUUUGAAUACAUUAAAAAAUAAAUAUUUUUAUUAUUUAAAAUAGUUAGAAAUAUAAUUAAUGAAUAAAGAAAUAAGUUUUUACAAAAUAAAAAAUAAAAAAGUAAUAAAUUAAAAAUGUUUAGUUUAAAAUUAUUUUUUUUAAGAAUGAAGAAAAUAAAAAAAUUAAACUCUACAAUAACGUAAAAGUUGAAUCUAUAAACAUAAAUUAUUAUUUAUUUUUAUUAUUAUUGAUGAUGUAAUCAUGUUAAUUUCAAGUAAAAAAUACAUAACAUAAUUAUAAAAAAUCUCAAAGUCAAUUAGUAUUAAUUAAUAGUGGACACAAAAAUAAUAUUGAAGUGUCUACCUAAAUGCAAAAUCCUAAAAAAAAAACUAAUGCAAUUAUUACACUUAAUGCUUAAAAUUGAGAAGAAGAAAAAUGAAAAAAUAAAUAUAUAUAAAAAAUAAAAACACCAACAUUGCAACAGGUCUUUCAUGUUACGAAAUACUAUUUAUGGAACUCAAAAAGGAAGAGUAUUGGCCUGCAUACACUGGUCAAAUACUAUGUCCAAGUCCCGACAUGAGAAGAACCUUAAAGGUGAGGCCUAAGUCAAGUCGAAUAAGGAUUGAUAUGGACAUAAAAGAACUACAUGAUCGAACAAAAAAAUGUUCAUAUGGUCAAACACCAGGACACACAAAAAACAUUUGUCCCAACAUUACUGGAUUGUACACUUCUCAUCAUUAAUUAUGUUCCAUUUCGCACAAACUAUUUAAUGUAACAUUGAAGAAAAUAUUAAAUGAAUGAUCAUCUUUCAUUUAUUUUCCUUUUCAUGAUCAACAUAUACUUAUUUAGUAUCGCCUUAUAUCUUUUAUCUUUAUCUUGUUUGGAUUUUUUUUUUAUAUCUUUUAUCUUUAUCUUAUUUUGUUUUGCCUUUAUUUUAUAUCUUUUAAGUUUUUAGUUAUUUUUUUUCUACCAUUCUUUAUUUAUGUAUGUUUUUUAUUUUUAUUUUAUUGUUGCUGUUUUUAUUUUCUAUACUUAUUUAUUUUUGCAUUUUUUCUUCUCAUUUUUAAGCAUUAAGUGUAUCAUUUACAUCAGUUUUUUUUAGGAUUUUACAUUUAGGGUAGAAACUUCAAUAUUAUUUGUGUGUCCACUAUUAAUUAAUAUUAAUUGUAACAUCCCUAAAUUUUUACCCAUAUAUAUAUAUAUAAUAAAAUAAAAGUAAAACAAACACUAUCUACUUAACAUAUGAAUAUAUAUAACUAUCUCAUAAUUGUAUCUAAAACAAAUAUCCCUCUUCAUAGGAAUUUUAAUAUAUACAUCAAAAGUUUUAAAAACAAACAAAACAUUCAAAUUAAAACUAUCACAUCCUCCAGUUGCUCACUUAGGAGCUCUAUUACCUGCAAUCAAUCCCAUUUGCUCCCGUGUACAACACGAUCAUCACAGAUAAAGAACAAACACAAACAAAUAACAGGGUAAGCUAGCUGUAACAAAAUUUUCUAUAUAAUUUAAAUUUCAAAUUAAUACACAAAAUUCAUAAAUUCUCAUACAAUUUCUCAAACAUUUCACAUAACCAUUAAGUGUCUAUCAACAAUUUCAAUAUUCAUUUUUCUCAUAUCAGUCAUCUACUGACUCACAACCCAUAGACACUUGACUCUACUUCCGGAAGACUCGUGUGUUGACUUAGACUCAUAUAUCUGCACCUAUCAUACUAUCUCACUGUUAAAUCCACACAGCUAUGCGCAUAAAUAAUCUCAAUAUCGUCUCUUUCCUAGUAUGACAGGGUUAAUUCAUAUAACAUGUCAAGUUAAUUAUCUUUCAAAUAACUUACUCAUUCAUGUAAACCUCUUUCGACUCUCACUACCUGAAUAACUUCAUCUAUAUGAUUUCAUUAUCUCAGGAGAGUCAGGAUAUCUCCUUCUAGACAAAUCCCUAGUCAAUGCACAUCCUAAACAAUCUUAACACAGUAUUUUCUUUCCUGAAAAUACUAUGUCUUGAUUAAAAUUCAUAUUUUGACUCUCACAAUAUCCAAAUCACACAAUCAAAUCAUACCAAAGUUUAGAAUUUCCAAAUCACACAACAAUUCAUUCACUAAUCAUAUAAAUAUUUUAAACUUUUCUAAACAAUUCAAUUAUAUCUAAAAAUUCACUUAAACACAUAAUUAAGUUCCAAAUAUAUGCUUUCUAAAUCAAUCAUCAUCUAAAAUCAAACAACCACUUCUCAUCAAACAUCUCAUUUAAGUAAUUCAACAAAAUAUUCAAAAAUAGUUCAACUCAUUUAUAUUAUCAUUCAAACAUUUUAAAUUUUCAAACACUGCAAGCAUAAAUUUGAACUGGUGACCACGUCACUCCCACAUCCAGAUCUUCUAACCUAGGGUUCUAUAUAAAAUAUAAAAACUAGCUUCCCUUACCUGGACUUGAGCAGAUGCUCACUAAGAGCUCCAACCCACAAAAAGCUUAAGGAUAACCUAACCUACACCGCAAAGUCCUGAUCACAAAUCUAACUAUAUCACUAGGACCCUGAUCUAACAGAGACUAAUUCUGAAGAUAAAAACCUCACAUGCAAACUUAAACUAAAAGGCACCCUAACCAAAUCAAAACUAACUCAAAGGAAAAUGAGCCAAAAAUGAACUUACUCUAUCUAAGAUUCUAAUCGGGCAAUCUCGUAGAGUUCACUGCCAGGAGUCCAAUGGCAGACUCUGAUCAUCAAACUGAUGAGCGAGCAGGUCAGAAUCUUAGAGAGAAGGGAGAGGAAAGGAAAAAGGGAACAAAAAUGAACUUACUUUAUGAAAGAUUUUGAUCGAGCAGUUUUGUAGAUCUAGCUACCAGGAGUCUAAUGGUGGACUCCGAUCGUCAAACAAAUGAGCGACUCAAAAUCUUAGAGAGAGAUGGUGGUUCUUUUAAAAUGAAACCUAAAUAACUAAUUUUCUAUUUAUAUAGCUUUUUUACUUUAAUAAUAAAAUAUUCAGAUGUCAUUUUAAUUGUAUCAUUUCUACUCUAAGACUAUUUUUCUCGGUCCUUACACUAAUUGACUUUGAUUUUUUUAUAAUUAUGUCCUGUAUUUUUUCCUUGAAAUUAACAUGAUUACAUCAUCAAUAAUAAUGAAAAUAAAUACUAAUUUAUGUUUAUAAAUUCAACUUUUAUGUUGUUGUAGAGUUUAAUUUUUUAUUUUCUUCAUUUAAAAAAAUAAUUUUAAACUAAACAUUUUUAAUUUAUUACUUUUUUAUUUUGUAAAAACUCAUUUCUUUAUUCAUUAAUUAUAUUUCUAAUUAUUUUAAACAUUAAAAAUAUUUAUUUUUUAAUGCAUUCAAAAUUAAAAUUAUAAAAAAAAUAUUUAUUUAUUUAUUUUUUAAAUGGUGUUAGAUAGGAAAAUAAAAAAUAAAAGAGUGCUAGAUAGGAAAAUAAAAACAAAAUUGUGCUAGAUAGGAAAUUGAGCCUAAAAUUAGAGAUGAUACAAUUUACUAAAUCCAUCUAUCUUGAUUUGACUAGUCAUUCAUUCUUUAAAAAGAAGAUGAGAUAAAUAGAUCGCGAGUCAUAACAAAUAUGAUACCUUGAGUUUAUUGGUUGAAAUGAGUUGUUCAAGUUUGUUUGUUAGGGGUACUUAGGAUAGGUAGAAGUCUUUGAUUUUUAUUUUUUAUUUUUCUGUUUGUAUAAGGGUUGAGUUACUCUUUAAGUGAUCCAUAUUUAUUUCUUUUUUUUUGUUAAUACAAAAAAAAAAUCUAAUACCUUUUUCUCAUAUUUUAUUUCAAAAGAAAUAUAUGUAUUAAAACAUACAUGUAAGUAUUUUCGAAGUCUUUAAUUGAAUAAAAGUAAGAUAGUGACAAUACUGGACAAUCCAUUUCAUUUUGAUCUAUGUAUAUUUGAGUUGUUAAAAAUAGGUCGGAACGAGCUAACUAACAUAAGACUUGUGAGAAUAGGUUGAGCUUUUGAUUCCACCUGCAUAAAUUAAAAGAAAUUGAAAUUUUUUGGUAGGAUUUGUUUGAAAUUUUUUAAUUCCAAACUUGAGUAUUUUAUAAAAAUAAAAUAAUUUACUACAAUUAUAACAAUUAUAAAAAAAAAUCUUAAAGAUUAAUUAUUUAUGAUUUACUACAAGUAAAUAAGGAAGGAUACUAUAAAAAAAAUAUUAAAGUGGAUCAUAAAAUAAAAUUUAAAUUUAUACUUAUAAACAUAUGAUAUUGAUGAAAUAAUGACGAAAGUUAUUCAGUCAUAUUCAACACUGAAAUAAUACUACACUAGAAUAAAAGGUUAAAAAAAUUAAUGCAAGUUUGCGAGGCGGACUAGCUCAUACUUUGACUCGCAUGAGUUGCGAGUUAUACGGAGAGAAUCUAUGAAACUUAAGAACUUAAAUGUCUAGUCAAUCUAUAUCUACUCGCAUGACCACUCUCAUAUUAUCAUCCAUAUUAUUAUCUUUAGAUUAUAAAUUUAUAACAUCAUGUAUUAUUAUUGUAAAUUUACUUAUAUCUUGGUGAAUUAAGAAGUAUAAAUAUUCUAAAAUUUUCUUUUCAUGCUUAAUAAAUUAAUUUGCAAGUUAUAAUAUUUCUAUUUGUUUUGAAAAUUAAUAAUUUAAUAUAUAUAUAUAUAUAUAGUUAGUUAGGAGUAUAUUGGGAGGGCAGUGAGAGGUUUAUAUAUAUAUAUAUAUAGUUAGUUAGGAGUAUAUUGGGAGGGCAGUGAGAGGUUUAGAGAGAGAAAGGGAAAGGUAAGGUUGUCUCCAUGGUUGAUACCUCGUUUUUCUUCACUAAUAUUCCGCCUGGUCAUGAAGAAAGGAGCUUUGGAAUAUUUUCCAAAGAUGGGGUAGAGUUCUGGACGUUUUCAUACCCAAAAAACUUAAUUAUAGAAAACAACACUUCGGGUUUGUGAGGUUCAAAGGGGUGAGGGAUGUUUGUGAGUUAGAAAGAAGGUUGGAUGCUAUUUGGAUUGGGUUAUGGAAAUUACGUGUGAACAUAGCCAGAUACCGUAAGAAAGAACAGCCAAAGGAAGCACGUAAUCAGAACCGGAGGGUGGAGGGCUCUAGAAAAGUUUGGAGCUAGAAGGAGAUGCACCGUUCAUUUGCAGAAGUGGUUAUGUCUGGGAGUGCGAGUUUGCCUCAGGGAAAAAAGAGUGAUGGUGAACAGAAGGAGCUCGAAUUUGAUUUGCCUUGUUUUAAGGUGGACGUGGAGCCAUCAUUGUGGCUCGAGAGUUGUUUUAUUGGGAGGUUCUCGGAACUGUCUAAUUUUCAGGCAGUUAAGGAGAGUGUUGUGGUGGGUGGUUAUGGUUCGUUAAGUCUUAGCUAUCUUGGAGAGAAUUUUAUGCUGCUAGCUGGUAAUGGUGAGAUUUCUGUCGCGAAGGUCAUCGAUGAUAACAAAGAGUGGUUUGGGGAUAUCUUUGAUUCUCUUGUCCCAUGGGAUAAUUCUUUCUCCGUCUCUGGUAAAGUUGCUUGGGUUCAAAUUAGGGUUUUACCAUUGAUGUUUUGGAAUAGACAAUGCUUUGAACUUAUUGGGGAGUUAGUAGGAAAGUUUAUUGAGGUGGAUGAGGCGACGGAGGCACGAGAGAUUCUUGAGUUUGCUAGAUUACGGAUCAAGAUUCCAGCGGGCGGGAAUGCAAAUGUGGUAAAAAAUAUUAUUAUUAAUGAUUAUCGGUGUCGGAUAACCUUUGAAGAAGAUACGUGUCAUCGUUUUUCUCAGCUUGGUUGCAGUAAGUGCAUGGAAUGGGGGCAGCUGUUUGAGGGGAGUUCGGAGGCACGCUAUUUAGUCACUGAUGAUGAAGAUGUGGUUGAGUCCGUAUUUUCGGACAUUGGAGGAGAAGAUGAUGGAGCUAAGGGCAACUUAGUUUUAUUAGAAGAUCCAGAGUUGGUAGAUUUUUCUUCUAAAGUUGGUGUAGACCUUAAAGAGGGAGCAAUGCCUGCUUUGGGAAGCCAAAACAAUGAGUGGGAAAGGUUGGGAAGCCAAAACCGUGCAUGGGAAAGAAUGGAGAUGGGCGGCGCAUUUAAAGGGGUCCAAAACCAUGUGUCUGGUGGUGUAAAUGAGGGUAGUUCUAGAAAAGAGGGGGGGUGGUCUGAUGAGUUUUUCUGUGUUGGACCUACUUUGGCCCAAGUACACGUGGUUGGUGGGGCGAAACAGCCAUUGGUUUCAGACCCAUCUGCAGACGUGGCAGACCAUGUAGGUUUCCCUGCAACAUGCAACUUUGGGGUGGGCGGAGAAGUGUAUCCAAGUGGCGUUGCCCUUGGUGGUACGCCAGCCAGCGACGACGCGGUGGCUCCGAUAAUGUCGAAUACUCUGCCUACGGAGAGGUGGUCGAAUAAAGCGGAGAUGAAGGUUGACGACGACACCGUGUUAGUUACGUCAACGAUAACAGUGACGACGCCUCUUGGGCACCUACUGGGUGCGUCGGCGUGUGAUGAGGUGGCAGCGGCGCCCGUUUACAGAGACGAAGGGCUCGAGGUCACCGGCGGAAGAGGUCUAGGUUACAAUGAGCAUUUGGGUGGUUCGCCAGCCGUGGAGGGCUUGUCUGAAGCGGCAGACGGAGGAGAAGUUGACGGUGCUAAUAGGAGUGUCGGGAAGGAGUCAGUAGGGGCGGUUGAGAUGGUGUUUUCGGCGAAGGCAGCAGGUGGAAAAAGACUUAGCAAGACUUUUUCUAAAACUAGCCUUAAGAAUAUGAGAAGGAAAGUUGCUCCGUCUUCGAUGGCGGGUAAAAGGUUAGAAACUGUUGUCUCUUCUAUUUCUGACAAUGAUGUAAGGAACUGUAAUAAUCGUUAUUGGCUGGAAAAUAAGGAAUCGGAAGCCCAAAAAAAUUGGAACAUGGGAAAAGUUUUGGGGUUUUCGUUUGCUGGGAAGGAAGAAGUGGUAGUUAAAAAUUUGCAAGCCUUGGAAGCUCGGGACAGAGAUAACAUGUUGCUCAAAAGGAAGGAGAGUGUAGUGUCUGAUGAUGAAAAUAAUUAGUUUGAAUGUGAGGGGGUUAGGAGGAAGUAACAAAAGAAGAUAUCUAAAGGAGUUGAUUUUCAAAGAACAGGUAGGAAUGGUGUGUAUUCAAGAGACUAAGUGUUCUAAGUUCGGAGAAGAGAAUUGCUUCAAUAUGUGUGGUUCUAUGAAAUAGACUGGAUUGAAAUUGGGGCUAUCAAUAAUGUUGGUGGGAUUAUUACUUUAUGGAGGAGGAGUUGUUUCCAUUUAUUAAGUUAUGUUAAUGGGAAUAAUUUCUAGAUUAUUGAAGGAAUAUAGAAGGGUGGUGAUGGAGUAAGAGUAACUAUUGUGAAUGUUUAUAGCUCAGGUUCUCUGAAGGAAAAGAAAGCGAGUUGGGAUGAGAUUAAUGCUCAUAAAGCGUGUCAGUUAAACAAGAUCUGGUGUGUAAUAGGGGACUUCAACUCAAUCAGAACAAAAGAGGAGAGGAAAAGUUUGGCUAUGGGCUUAAAUUAUAAUAGAGAAAUGCGGGAUUUUAAUGAGUUUAUUGGAAAGGCUGAAUUAAUGGACAUUCCGAUGGUUGGUCGGAAAUUCACGUGGUAUAAACCGAAUGGUACUGCUAAAAGUAGAAUUGAUAGAGUCCUUGUCUCUAAGGAAUGGAUGGAGGAGUGGCCGAACAGUAAGCAGUUUGUACUUAGUAGAUCUGUUUCAGAUCACUGUGCUUUGGUAAUUAAAGAUUCCUGUCCAGAUUGGGGUCCGAAACCUUUUCGCAUUCUGGAUGUCUGGUAAAAAGACAACAAGUUCAGGGAGUUUGUUCGAAGUAAAUGGCUUAGUUAUGAAGUUUACGGUAGGGGUUUGUUUGUAUUCAAAGAAAAAUUGAGAAGCUAAAAUCAGAUUUAAAAGUAUGGAACAGAGACGUGUUCAGAGAUGUUAAUCUGAAAAGGGAGAUUUUAAAAAAGAAAAUUGAGGAUUUUAAUGCUCGAGAUGAUGCUGGUAUCUUAGAUGAGGAAGGCAGAGUGGAGAGGAGGUCUUUGCUAGCAGAACAAAAUGAAAAUGCUUUUAGACAAGAAACAGUUAUUCAUCAGAAAGCUCGCCUUAAAUGGUUAAAAAAUGGUGACCUUAAUUCAAAGUUUUUUCAUUCGACUGUUAAAUGGAGGAGGGCAAGAAACGGAAUUAAUGGACUAGUAGUUGAUGGUCUGUGGAGUGAAGAUAAGGAGGUGGUUAAGGGUAAGGUCAGGAACUUCUUCAAGGCUAGAUUUGAAAGUGUUGUUGGGCUUCAAGUCAAGUUGGAUAAUGUGCCUUUCAAUUCUAUUUCUGCUGCGGAUAAUGAGAUGUUGGUUUGUACUUUCUCCGAAGAGGAAGUCAAGGAGGCUGUUUGGGAUUGUGAAAGCUCGAAAAGUCCUGGUCCGGAUGGAUUUAACUUUGGGCACAUCAAGUUUUGUUGGGAGUUUAUUAGGGAGGAUAUUCUGCUGGCCGUAAACGAUUUUGCUAGAGUCAGAAAAUGGCCUAGGGGGACAAAUGCGUCGUUCGUGUGUCUGGUCCCUAAGCUGGAGAAUCCACAAAGUUUAUGUGAUUUUAGACCUAUUUCUCUGGUUAGAUGUCUAUAUAAGAUCAUAUCGAAGUUGCUAUCUCUGAGGCUUAAAAAGGUGAUGAGUAAAAUCAUUGACUCGAGAAAGUCUGCGUUUCUAGCUGGUAGGGGAAUUUUGGAUAGUGUGUUGGUGGCCAAUGAAGUCUUAGAGGAGGCAAAAAGGAGGAAGAAGAGCUGCUUAUUUUUCAAAGUGGAUUAUGAGAAGGCUUAUGAUUCAGUAAGGUGGGAUUUCAUCAGUUAUAUGCUUGAAAGAUUAGGUUUUUGUGAACAAUGGAUUGCUUGGAUUAAAUCUUGUCUAGAGUCUGCAACGGUAUCUGUGUUGGUUAACGGCAGUCCGACUAAGGAAUUCGUUCCUUCAAAGGGUUUGAGACAGGGUGAUCCUUUGGCUCCGUUUCUUUUCCUUAUUGUAGCUGAAGGUUUAGCAGGAGUGGUAAGGAAUGUUGUCUUGUUUGACUAGGUGGAGAGUGUGGAGGUUGGGAGGAAUAAGGUUAAGGUUAAUAUGCUUCAGUAUGCAGAUGAUACCUUGUUCUUCUGCAAAGCAACAACCAAAAGUGUUUUCUGUUUAAAAUCUAUUCUGACUUGCUUUGAGCUGGCUUAAGGUCUAAAGGUGAACUUUCUAAAGAGUAGCAUUGGAGGUGUGGGGGUUGAUACUUUCACGAUCAAUUGUUUCGCAAAAAUGCUUAACUGUGAAGUGAUGAAUUAUCCUUUCAAGUAUCUUGGGUUGCCUGUUGGGGGAUGUCACAAGAAGGAAGCGUUUUGGGAUGGGGUGGUUGAGAAGAUAAAGGAAAGAUUGGGAAGAUGGAAAGGCAGAUUUAUCUCUAUGGCAGGAAGGAUUUGUCUGAUUAAAUCUGUUCUCUCUGCUAUACCCUUGUUCUAUAUGUCAUUGUUUAAAAUCCCUGCUAUUGUUAUGAAGAAGAUUGUGAAAAUUCAAAGAAAUUUCCUGUGGGGUUGGAGGUCAGGUGGGCGAAAGAUUGCGUGGGCUUCUUGGGAGAAGGUGUGCGAACCCCGUGAAAAUGGUGGUCUCGGAGUUAUUAAUAUUAAAUUUUUCAACAUUGUUUUGUUGGGGAAAUGGAUUUGGAGGUUGGGUUUUUCCAAAGGUGGUCUGUGGAAGGAGGUGGUAGAAUCUAAGUACGGGGGUUGGAGAAAGUUGAAAGGGCCAAGUUCAAAAACGAUGGGGUCUCUUUGGUGGCAGGAGCUAAAGGCGAUUUGGUCGUUGGAGGAAUGGGGGAGAGAGUUCGACGACCGUUUCAAUUGGAAAGUCGGUAAUGGGAAGGAAAGCAGGUUUUGGGAAGAUAAAUGGGUGGGCGAUUUGGAGUUGAAAAACAAAUUCCCGAGGUUAUACUCUCUUUGCAGGGAUAAAGAUGAAUUGUUGGAAUGUUGUGGGGUCUGGGAAGAAGGAGAAUGGAGCUGGAAGUUUGGGUGGAGAAGAAAUUUAUUUGAUUGGGAGAAGUCUCAGGUAGGCCAACUUUUUGAAGAAAUUAGAGGUUUGAGUAUUGAUCCAGAUAUUGAUGACUCGUGGGUUUGGAGGGAUGGUAUGCAUAUUGAUUUCUCGGUUAAAUCGGCUUAUAGUGUUUUAAGGGGACAUAGUGAGGGGAUUUGUCAAAAUUGUACAACUUUUUCUGGAGUAUUAAGGCUUUGCCUGCGGCCGAGGUUCUAGCAUGGAGGGUAUUGAAAAAACAAGAUUGCUACUAAAGUCAACUUGGCACGGCGAGGGGUGAAGACUGACGUUUUAGUUUGCUGUUUUUGCAGGUUGAAGGAGGAAUCUACUAGUCAUUUACUCUUUGACUGUAGAAUUGCCUGGCUCGUUUGGGGUCAAUGUUCUGCGUGGUUAGGAGUGUCGUCGGCUGCUUCCAUUGAUCCUUUCGCUCACUUCUUGCAAUUUUGUAACGUUAUAAAACCGUUUAACUUUGUACUGGGAAGUGUGUGGAUCUCGAUGGUUAAAGAGAUUUGGUGUCAUAGGAACAAGGUUAUUUUUAAAGGAGGUGUGGUGGAUCAUUCUGAAAUCUUCACUUUGGCUCAAUUGAAGGAUUAGUCAUGGGUAACUUCUAAAAUACCCUCUCCUUGCUUCUCCUUUUCUGACUGGUGUCUUGCUCCUUUAUCGUGUUUGAAAUCGAUUUAAUUGGCAUGACCCAGUUUAGGGUGAUAGGUAUCUUUAUUUCGAUGGUUGUUGGUUUUUGUGGGUUGUUGGGUUGGUGGAUAAGAGUUGUUGUUCUUUUUGCCCCUUGUUUUGGUUGCAGUGAGUUUGUUUUGAGUUUGUACGAGUUUGUUUUGAUUAUUGUACGGGAUUAUACGGAUUUUUUAGUGGUAGAAUUUUUUGUCUCUCUCAUUUUGUUGGUUUGGAAGACCUGAGAUUUGAUUCAUAUUAUAUAGGUAUGUAUAAGUGUUGAACCACCCUGGUUCCUGUUAUUCAAAUAAAGUGCACACAACUCAACAAUUAAACAAGAAUGAACCUAAGACUCGUGAUACCACAUGAUGUGAUUCCAAUAGCCACAUAGAACAAGAUUCUUGACAUUUUUAGGAAUCACCUUGAGCUGGAAAAUAUAGAGGCACUUUUCUUAGAGUUGGAUCAUGGUUCUAAGACAAGAACUCACCAAUUACUAGUACCAAAUCCCAAACUCAUUUGGAUGAACCAAAUAUUGUCAAAUUGAAUCAACAAAGGAAUUAAAAAUUGAAAAGACCGAACAGAAAUAAACCAAUACUCAAUUAAACCGAACAGAAUUAAGAAACAAAAAAGAAUAUAGGUGCUGGAAAAAAUGGAAGAGCCGAAACUAAAAACAACUCAAAACACAAGGCAACAUGAACAAUUGAAGAAGAAGAAAGGAAGGAGAAGAGAAUGCUCAUGAAGAUGGAAGGAGGAUGGAUGAUCUCGCCACUAGAAGUGUGGAAUGCUCCUAGAUGAGAGUGAUGCCGCCACUUGAGGACUCCAUGGAUCCAUCAAGAUAAGACUAGAAAAGAAGGCUCCAAAAGCUCUCCAAAGGUCACUCAAAAUUUGAGUAUAGUUUUCUUAGAUUAAUUCCAAUCUGAAUUUUACAAAGGAAGCACCUCUAUUUAUAGCCUAAGGUGCUGAAAAAUAGGUGGGAAAUUUCAAAUAAACUCAUUUGAAAUUCCCACCAAAAACAAGUCACAUGGGAGGUGUGACCUUUUUCUACUAUGACACCUCCCAAAAACUACACCUACACCACUCUCCUAAGUCACAUGGACAAUGUGACUUUAUUUUACAUUUUCACACACCUUUAUUUAAUAACCACACCUCCUAAAACUAUACAAGAGUAUUUCAAAGCUUGGCCUUGCCCCUCAUGGGAUGGACUUGGGCUCUUUGGGCUUUGGCCUUCUUGGGCUUGGGCUUGGGCUUUGGGCUUGGGCUUUGGGCUUGGGCCUCAUCUUUAUUUUAUGUCUUCUUUUAAUUUUGAGAAGACUAGAAGGAAGAACUUCAAAUGUGAGGGUGGAUGUCCUCUUCCUCCAUUAAUAAAAGCCUCCUUUAUUUGAUUCUCAUCAAGUCAUAUGUAUAUAAGUGUGAUAAUUUUUUUAAAUUAUUUUUAAAAAACUAAACAACAAACACAAAUAAAGCGAGAACAAAUGCCAUAACCAUAUGAAUAAAAUUAGAUAAUAAGGAAAAAAAUUAACAAGUAUAUAUGUGUAGUUUAAGUUUUUUAUAAUGAUUGAUCAGAAUAAAUAAGAUUUACUUACUAUAAAAACAAUUGCAUUUAUAUAUAGCAAAUCGACGAUCCAUUCAUGAAUUAUUAUUAUUAAUAUUAUUAUUAUUUCUUCUUCUUCUUCUAAUCGACGAUCCAUUCAUGAAUUAUUAUUAUUAAUAUUAUUAUUAUUUCUUCUUCUUCUUCUUCUUCUUCUUCUUGGUCGGGGAUGUGGAUUGUGUCCAUUCUCCGACGUUGGUGAGAGAAGACGCUGGGUGUGUGAGGUGUCGUCCUCCUUUUACAUCGAUGCCUCCGUUGCUGAGUUUCUGGACGAGGUUCCUGUCUUGAAGGCUUCGGCUUAGCAAUCCUUGUUGGCGUUCGAUCCUUGUUCUUUGGAGGAUCGUGUGUAUAGGGAGCAAUCAUCUACCGAGCCUCCCUUUUUCUUCAUGUAUGGUUAUCUUUUUGCGGACCUGCAUGUGUCUCUCCCCUUUGAUGCCUUUACGGUCGGGGUUUUGAAGGAGCUCAACGUGGCUCCGACCCAGCUUCAUCCCAACUCGUGGACGUCUAUGCAAGCGUUCCGCAUUGUUUGCCGGACGUUUGGGUUGCGCCCUCUCCCCUCUUGCUUUCUUCACUUCUAUUCGUCGUACACGGCUAAGCUUGCCAGUUGGCAAUCGCUGGUCAGCCGGGGGGGUAGCGUGUUGUUCAAGCCCUUCACGACCUCUUAUAAGAACUUUAAAGAAAAGUUCUUUAAAGUGUACGUGGAGUUGGCCGGGACGCGUUAUUUUUUUGACGAGGUCGGCCAGUCUCGUUUCCCACUUUUUUGGUCGAGGAGUCCGACGAACAUAACGGAUUGGCCGAGGCCGACACAUCCGAGCGAGCAUGAGUGGCUCGUUUUUGCUUUGUUUGAUAGUCUCCCCAGGAAGCUCCCCGCCCGACCGCUCAUGUCGCUGUACAAUUUGACUGAUCGCGCGGAGGCUUUUGAGGGUAUGCUAUUUUCAUGCACUUAGUUAUUACUUGUUGUGUUUUGUUCUAACCGAUCGUUUCUUGUUGUUUGAUUUGCAGAAAUCGCGAAGAGAGAAAUCCCUCAAGCCGUCGGGAUGUUACACUCGUUCAAAACCAAAUUGAACGAGAAGAGGGGGGCCACCAGCGCCAAGCCCCGCGCAGAGGAGGGUGCCCGGGCGGGGCCCUCAAAGAAACGUGGCCGCGAGGGCGGCAACAUUGCCCGCACCGUGUGGGAGGCAGGACAGAUGCCAACUCCUCCUCCUAGCCGGUCGGGUAGGAAUGCUUCCCCUCCCACUGAUGACUUCAACCGCCCGAUCCCAACGGCGGUGGCGAUGCCCAUGCCGGCCUCUGGGGGGUCGGCCCUGGCUUUGUUGGGGGGCGACCGAUCCUUCAGCCGGGUCGUAUCCUUUAGGUUGCCCCCAGGCCUUGAGGGGGGGAGAUCAAGUCAAUCCCCGAGGGCGAUCUUCUCAAUGGCGGCAUUGAGAUGAUAUGCCAAGGUCUGGUGCUGGCCAGGCGGGGGGGCAGACGCUCGGAAGGGCCGAGUGGAGGAACUUUCCCGCCUCGAGCAUGAGCUGCAAGAGGCGGGCCAAAAUCUGAAGUAGGCCGUGGAGGCCAACACAACCUAUGAAAAACAGUUGUGUGCUCAAGCUGCCGAACUGGAGCUGCGUCAGAACUGGCUGGCCGAGCUGGAGAAGGUCGAUGCGGAGAAAGCCGCGGAGGUUGCUCGUCUCCGCAAGGCAUUGGAAGCGGCCGACCAUCGGGUCACCUUGAUGGGAGAAGAGGUCGCGGCCGAGCGCGAGGGGAAAAAGGCGGUCGAGGCCGAGGUUUUGAAGACCAUGGAAGAUACCAUGGUUCUGAUCAACCAGAGCUUCGAUCUGGCCGUCCGCCAGGCCCCGGUACUCUAUGGUGGUCCUCCUCCUUCCGGUCAAUUUGACCAAGACAUGGAGGUCAUCGAUGGCCGCUUGGUCCCUGUGGAGGCCGGCCAGCUUGCUGAGGAAGCCGAUCCCGCCAGUGUUGUUUUGAAUAUUGUAGACUAGGCAGUUUGACUUUUGGAUUUUGAACCCUUGGGGUCGGGGUGUGGCCCCCACCUCUUUUUGAUUAAUAUAAGUGUUUUUUCCAAUUGUUUCUGCAUUUUCUGGACGAACGAGCCUUUACGAGCCGAGUGGGCUGGAAUAAUUAACCUUAAAUUGUGGUAAAGUUAACUAAGUAAAAAGAACUAAGUAAUCGGUCGGUAGAUGGAAUCAACUGAGUGACUAAUAAUUAAAAUCAACCAAGUGAUUGUAACGGACUUCGAUCAGUCGAUCGUUCUUUAGCGAAUUCGAUUUAGACGAAUUUUAUUGGAUGUUUAGGUGAACCGGGGCUCUUUGCCGAACGUUAUGUGUGCGCCGAGAGAAUAUGCUGGUUAAGGCUACGUUCUGGCCGAGGUGGGUACAGGUUCGGGAGGGUAUGCCGUUUGGGGCUACAUCCUGGCCGAACCGUGUGUGUUACGGGAGGGUAUGCCGGUUAAGGCUUCAUCCUGGCCGAACCGUGUGGGUUACGGGAGGGUAUGCCGGUUAGGGCUACAUCCUGGCCGAACCAUGUGUGUUACGGGAGGGUAUGCCGGUUGAGGCUACAUCCUGGCCGAACCGUUCGUGUUACGGGAGGGUAUGCCGGUUGAGGCUACAUCCUGGCUGAACCGUUCGUGUCAUUCAUUAUAUACACUUAUGUACGAAACACCUCGUUAAAACAUCUCCGACCGAUGGAUCGGUCAGGCGAGGAAAGAGUGCGUGUAUUUUAUUCAUGUUUAGCUGAAAUAAAACUUUAGGUGUGUGGCAUUCCACGUCCUAGGUACAAUUUUUCCCGAUAGAUGUUCCAAGUGAUAAGCCCCCCCUUCUCCUACUUCUCGGAUUCGGAACGGUCCUUCCCAAUUUGAUGAGAACUUGUCGUCCGACUUCCUAGCGUUGCUGCACAUUCUCCAGACGAGGUCGCCUUGUUGAAAGCUUCUGGGCUGGACCUUUGAGUUGUAUCUCCUUGACACUCGGAGCUUGCAUGCCGCUUCUCGUAUCUUGCUUUUAUCUCGGAGCUCGUUCAAGAGGUCGAGGCCAACCGCCAGACUUUCCUUGUUGAGGGAUACGUCGAAGAGUUGGCGUCGGAUGGAUGGCUCCCCGACUUCUACUGGUAUCAUGGCCUCGGUGCCGUACGUGAGGCUGUAAGGGGUUUCUUGUGUGGUGGAUUGCGGGGUGCAACGGUAUGCCCACAAGACCUCGGGCAGCUCCUCCGUCCAUCUUCCCUUGGCAGUGUCGAGCCUCUUCCUUAGUUCGUUCAACAAGACCUUGUUGGCCGCCUCGGCUUGUCCGUUCGUUUGUGGGUGCUCGACAGAGCUUGUGAGGGAUUUGAUGCCAAGGUCGUUGUAGAAUGUCAUGAGGCCUUGGUCGAUGAACUACCGGCCGUUAUCGGAGACUAUUGAGUGUGGUAUGCCGAAUCGGCACACUAUGUUUUCCCACACGAAAUUCUGGACGUUUCGAGCGGUGAUUGUGGCUAGUGGUUCGGCCUCUAUCCACUUGGUGAAGUAGUCUACCGCGACCAGCAGGUGCUUCGUUUGGCCUUUGCCUGGUGAGAAUGGGCCGAUGAUGUCCAUCCCCCACAUGGCGAACGGCCCGGGUGAUGUCAUGCUGUGCAGUUCUUCUGGUUUUCGGUGGUGGAGGGGGCCAAACUCUUGGCAUUUUUGGCAUUUCUUGACGUAAUUAGCGCUAUCUCCAUGGACGGUCGGCCAGUAGUACCCCGCACGGAUUAUCUUGGCCGCCAUCGUUCGGGCUCCGGAGUGGCUCCCGCACGCCCCUUCGUGGAUUUCUUGUAGCUCGUAUUGGGAUUGUUCCUUGGUGAGGCACUUUAGGAGUGGUGUUGAGUACCCCCUACGGUAUAGGUCUUGGCCGAUCAUGGUGUAUCGUGCGCACUGCCGUCUGAUACUCUUCUCUUCCCCCGGUUGGCAUGUUCCGUGUUCCAAGUACUGGGUGAUCGGGGUCAUCCAUGUGUUGGUCUCGGUGACUGUCAUGCAUUCGGCAUCACCUACGCUCGGCUGUGCCAGUCGCACUUGGACGACCGAUCGGUGGUGGCUUUGUUUUUUCGAGGAUGCAAGUCGCGAGAGUGCAUCGGCACACUCGUUUUCCUGUCGUGGUAUGUGUUGAACCGCCACUGUGUCGAAUUUGGCCAUGACGUUACGGACGGUGUGGUAAUAUCGUUGGAGGAGGGGCUCCUUGACCUCGAAUUCUCCAUUGAUUUGACCGACGACCAGUUGGGAGUCACUCUUGCAUGUGACCUCCCGCGCGCCUAGGUCAUUUGCUUAGUUGAGGCCGGCCAGUAUGGCCUCGUAUUCUGCUUGGUUGUUCGUUGCUUUGAAGGAGAGCUAGAGGGCUUGUUCAAUCAGUAAGUCCCCAGGCCCCUCGAGGACGACCCCGGCUCCACAAGCCGUUUUGUUGGACGAGCCGUCCACGUAGAGGACCCAUUUGGCCGAGGUUUCUGUGUUUCUGGGGAGCUCGGUUGCGAAAUCUGCCUAGCAUUGGGAUUUAAUGGCACCCCUUGGUUCGUACUUGAUGUCGAACUCUGAAAGUUCGACCGACCACCCUAUCAUCCGUCCUGCAAGGUCGGGUUUAGAUAAAAUUUUGUAUAUAGGAUAGUUGGUCCUUACCCUGAUUUCGUGAUUCUAGAAGUAUGGGCGCAUCCUCCUCGCUGUCAGCACCAGGGCUAGUGCCACUUUUUCUAUCAUUUGGUACCUGGUCUCGGCUGCAUGGAGCGUCCGGCUGACGAAGUACACUGGGUGUUCUUCGUGGUCCACUUCUUGGACAAGGGCGGCGCUGACCGCUUCCUCCGAUACCGCAAGGUAGACCACGAUGGGUAGGUCCAGAUGGGGCUUUUUGAUGACGGCCGGUGACGACAGGAAUUCUUUGAGUUGGCCAAAGAUUUGUUCGCACUCCUCGUUCCAACUAAAUUUCGAAGUUUUGCGGUGCAUUGUGGCUAUCGGCCUGAUCCGUUCGGCGAGGCAGAGGAUGAAUCUGGAAAGUGCUGUCAGCCGACCGAGUAGCUGUUGAAUUUCCUUCAAGUUUUUCGGGCUUCUCAUUUUUGUCAUGGCCUUGCACUUGUCAGGGUUUGCUUCGAUCCCUCUGUGGGUCAGCAUAAAGCCGAGGAACUUGCCACCUUCUACGCCGAACGCACACUUCUCGGGGUUAAGGCGCAUGUUGACCCUUCUUAGGGCGUCGAAAGCUUCUUGUAGGUCCUUUAUGUGUUGGCCGCACGAGUCGGACUUCACCACGAUGUCGUCAACGUACACCUCUACACUUCUAUCGAUCAUCCCUUUGAAAAUCUUGUCCAUGAGCCUCUGGUAGGUAGCCAUGGCGUGUUUUAGGCCGAACGACAUUACCUUGUAGAAGUAGUUUGUGUCGUCCAUCGUGAAAGCCAUUUUGCCUCUAUCGCUAUGGUGCAUGCUAAUCUGGUUGUAGCUGGAAUAGGCGUCUAAGAAGCUCAAUAUUUUGUGACCGGCCGCUCCGUCUACGAGCCGGUCGAUGUUGGGAAGGGGAUAUGAGUCUUUGGGGCACGCCUUGUUGAGAUCUUUAUAAUCUACACACAUCCGCCAUUUGCCGCUUGACUUUUUGACCAUCACAACGUUGGUCAGCCAAGUGGAGUAUCGUGCCUCGGCUAUAAAGUCGGCUUUUAGGAGCUUCUCGGCCUCACUUCUGGCGGUCAGCCGCUUGUCCUCUCCAUAGUUUCUUUUCUUUUGUGCUACUGGGCGCGCUUCUUUAUACACCGAAAGGCGAUGGGUGAUGAUGUCCGGAUGGACGCCCGGUACGUCGGUAGUCGUCUAGGCAAAGAGGUCGACGUUCCUCUUGAGAGUUUGGUGAACGAAGUCCGCAUCGGCGGCGACCAUUGCCGUGCCUAUGCUCGUAUACCGGUCCUCCCCGUCAAGUUCGGCUUGGCGUAGCUCGUCCUUGGCUUCGAGUCUUGGCUCGAUUUCCCUGGGAUCCAGAUCUGCCAUGGUGAUGCCCUUCUUUGGUUGGGGUGAGUGCCGGUGGGGGCUUUUCCUGCGGCCGGCGAUCUUUCGCUUGGGUGAACAGCUGCCACUGGGCCUCUGUUGUGUAGGUUCGACUCGCAGGCUUUCGGCGUAGCACUCUCGGGCGACCUUUUGAUCUACGUGGAUCGUCAGGAUGUCGCCUGAGAGGGAAGGGAAUUUCAUUGCUAGGUGGGGCGUGGAGACGAUUGCUCCAAGCUUGUUAAGGGAGGACCUGCCGAGGAGGAUGUUGUAGGACGUGUUGGCGUUUAUGACCAGGUAUCUGAUCUUGAGGGUUUUGCUAGCCCCUUCCAGACCGAACGUUGUGUAUAGCUCUAUGUAACCCCUCGUUCCUACGCGUUCCCCCGAGAAGCCGACCACGUGGUCGUUGUAGGGCAUCAUUUCCUUCUCCGGGAUUCUCAUGGCUUUGAAGGUCUUCCAGUAUAAUAUGUCGACCGAGCUUCCUUGGUCCACAAGGGUCUUCUUGAUCGUAAAGUUAUCGAUAUCGACCGAUAUCACCAUGGGGUCGUCCUGUGUCGGGUCUAUCCCCUUGAAAUCUUCGUCUGUGAAUGUGAUUGGUGGCAUCCUCGGCCGGGCGGAGACGAGGUUUACUUGGUGGAUGGCACGUAGGUGCUUCUUGCGUGCGCUGUUGGAACUGCCUCCGCCACCGAACCCUCCGGCUAUGGUGUUAAUUACCUCUCGGCCCCUGCGAGUGUCGGCUUGUGGGGGGUCGUCCCUUCGUCCCCGUCGGUCUCCACGCCUGUCACCCUCUCGUGGGCCUGGGGGGGUUCAGUCUCUUCUCCUAGGCGUUUGCUCCUUGCAUGGGGAGCGACGCGUCUCCCGGAUCCCACGCACAAAGCGUUUGAGAUGCCCGGCUUGUAUGAGUUCUUCGAUCUUAUCUUUCAGGGCUUGGCACUCUUCGAUAGAGUGGCCGGUAUUCUUGUGGUACCGGCACCUUUUGCUGCGGUAGGCAUUUUCUGGGCUUAGGGCCCUUCGGGGCGGUGGUAUUAGCUCGGCGCUCAGGGCCUCUUGCAAAAUUUUGCUCCUUUCCGCGUUCAGAGGUGUGUAGCGGGAGAAGCGGGGUCCACGAUUGUCCCUUUUUUGGUCUCGGCCAACUCGUGACCUUCCUUGCCGUUCCUAUCCUCUUUCUUUUCCCCGCUCGCCUCGGCCCGGGCGUUGUUCCUGAACUCGCGAAGUUCCUCGAGCUGCAUGAAUUUCGCCGCUCGGCGUCUAAGGUCAUCAAGGUUGGUAGCAGGCUGCAUACACAGGCUAUCGGCAAAAGGACCGGGUCUGAGGGCGGUCAGCAUGUGGUGCAUCGCCACCUCGGGGCUAAGGUUGCGAAUGCUCAUAGCGGUUUUGCUAAACCGGUCAAUGAACGUUCUGAGGGACUCUCCCUUCUCUUGACGAAUGCCGACCAGUGUUAUGGAUGUUAGAUGGUGGGGGCGGCUUGUUGCGAACUGGACAUCGAAUUUCGCUAUUAGGGUUUCGAAACAAUCUAUAGAGUGUGCUGGGAGCUUGGUGAACCAGCUCAGAGCGCUGCCCUUUAGAGAGGUUGGGAAGACUCGGCAAAACACUGCGUCGUCCGUGGUAUACAAGCUCAUAUGGGUCGUGUAUGCGUCCACGUGCUCAUCUGGGUCGGUCGUCCCAUCGUAUCGAUCCCUGUUGAAGCCUUUCCAUUUGUCCGGCAGGGGGUGUCCAUGACACGGUCGAUGAAGGGAUGGCGCCGGUCCGGACCCGCCGGAGCGGUAGUGUUGAUUGUCUUGCUGGGAUGGGACUCUCCAUCCAUUUCCAGAGUGAAGUCGUUUUUGGUGUCUUUCUCGGCCUGGAGGCCGGCACCGGUGGCGUGGGACCUGCCGGCCUGAUUGGUCAUGGCGAGGGACGGCACCCCCUCGACCAGCUUCUUCAUUCGCUUGUUCUCUUCUUGGAGGCUUUUGAUUUCCUCCUCGUUCUUCUUAGCGGCUUCCUCGUGCGCCUUCCUCAUCUCUGCUAGCUCCCUCUGAAGGGCCAUCAUCAUUGUUGUUUGGUCUGCUUCGGUCAUGCUUGCCAUGCUGCGGUUGAUACCAUCUACUGCUGUGGUUUUUGCUGGCUCUCCUCGGCCCCACGGUGGGAGCCAAUUGUUCUCGAACUAGAUUGGGGACUGGGAGAACUAUUGUCUUCAGAUGUCACUCGGUCGGUCGUAUCUCACGUUCCUCCUUCGGUCUUCCUCGCCGAAUGGCUCCUCAGACUGGUAGGGUACCUGCAGAUGGCACUCCAACGCUCAAGUCAGUGGGGUAUCGUAUUCGGCUGGUUAGAAUACUGUAGAUAAUGACGUACCUUCUUCCUUGGAAUGCGUGAUAUUUAUAUUACCUUGAUGGGCCCUUGCUGUUGGGCCGGAUUAGGGGGUUGUUUAGCGAUUAUGGUUGGAUUAGGUCGUUUCCUAACCAUAGGUUAACCUUUGCUAAUUGGGUCAACCUUUGACUUGAGCACCUUGUGUCGGUCGGCAACGCAUGACACGUGGUCGACCUCGUACCUUAAAAUAGGGUCUUAACGCAUGGAUUGACCGGGUCCAUGCACCGGUGAUCAUCUCGAUACAUUAUUAAAUCGUAAAUAAUAAUUUGUAUGUCUUGUUGAACGGAUUUAUAUGAGAAUAUUAAUUUAUAUAUAAUACUUAAUUUAUUUACUAAUAUAAAUUCGUUGAUAAUUCACUUUCAAAUUUAUAUUCAUAGAUAAUAACAAUAUUAAUAAUAAUAAUAAUAUUAUUAUUAUUAUUGAAUUUAUUUAUAAAUAAAUAUUUGUGAGUAAUUAUUUAUGAAUUUAUAUUCAUAGGUAAUAAUUCAUAUAUAAUAUAUAAUUUACCUAGUAGGUAAUAAUUGAUAUGUAGUGUUGAAAUUACCCAUAUGUAUCCGAUUGUUUAAUAAUAAUUAGGUAAUUUUUAUUUAUUUAUUUAAUAUUAAAAAUUUAUAAAAAAGUAUUUCAUAUUUUUCAAACCUUUACUUAUUUAAAUCUUUAAAGUGAAACCUCCAUCUGCAAUUAAAUUUAAAUCUAUACAUGUAUUGUUAAAUAUUGAUUACUGUGCUGGUAAGGCCCACUGACACAUAUGACGUGGCUUGGUCUCCUUGGUCGAGCUGAUCGAGACACACGUUGACGUGUCUCAGUCUUCCUGAUUGAGUUGAUCGAGACACCACGCACGAUUAGACUGACCGAUACAUAUAACCAUUAACGCUCAAACCAAGGUCAGUGAAGCUAAACUACCAUUAAGAAUUAGGUAAUGCAACCAUAAGUAUGAUCCAUUUCACUAAUCAGACCCAAUCAGAUAAGCCCAUUAAAAUAAUAUAAAUAACACACAUUCCAAUGAACAAGGUACGUCAUUUAUUAUUGUACACCUAUCCGGGUACCAAACACCCUUUACUGACUUGAGUGUCGGAGGGUCUUCUGCAGGUACCUCCCUCAUUUGGCAUUCACCAAUACCGAGAGCCGAAGGAGUAGCACGAAGGCGAAAAGGAUCCUAGUGAAGCCCUAGCAACCUGUCCGACCGAAAGAGAAAGACGAAGACUUCAAUAGUUAUAUAGGUCUCAUCUCCCUAGCAGAAACAAUUACUUAAUUCACAAUUUGAAGUAAGGACAAUUGAUUAAUUUUUAUGAUUUAAAUGAACUUACACACAAAAAAUAUAUAUAUAUAUAUAUAUUAUAAUUCAAUAUAAUACAUAACAUAAUGUAGAAUUUCAAUAUAUAAUUGUAAGAAAAUAUCAAUUGUAAAAAGUGUAUAAUAAAUCACUAACGUGAGAUUAGGAAAAUUUUACUGUAAAAAAUGAUAUAACAUAAUAAGGAUUGAAAAUUUUUAAACUCAUUAAGUUUCUUAAAAACUUAGUUUGGAAUUUUUUAAAGGAAGUUGCUUAAAAGAUAAAAUAUAGAUAAGGAACUAAAAUUCUUACUCUCUAUUGAGACUUCAUCUUUAUUUGUUCUCUUAAACAUGAAUUUCUUAAACAUGAAUUUUGUGACUAGAAGAUUUUCAUCAAACACCCCAAUCUCAUUUGAAAAUACAUAGAAAAAAUUACAAAUUAUCCACUAAGAUUAAGUAAUGUUAAUAUAGAAGAAGUGAUUUCUUUUUUAAAUUCUUGAAAACUAUUCAAACAUAUAAAAUAAGUGUUGAAAAUUCUUAGAAUAAAUAAAAAUAUGAAUUCAUUAUUAUUAUUAUUUAAUUUUAAUUUUAUAAUCUAAAUGUUAUCGUGACAAAAUCAAGUUGAAACAUAAAAAAUUUAAUUGUACAGAUUUUUUUUUAAUAAACAUAAUUUAUUUGUACAUAUAUCAGGAUUGUAGACUAAUAAUGUAAGAACGUAAAAAAAAUAAGAACAUGUAGAACCCUCCUCCCUUACACCACAAUACAUUUUUCUUCUAUCUUUCUCUCUCUAACUCUCUUCUACUCUCUUCCUUCUCUCUUAUAACUAAUCUAUUUUUUAACUCUAAUCACGCCAUAUGUAGCUCAAAUAAUUAAUUUUUUUUUUAAAUCUAAUCACGUCAUAUGUAGCUCAGGAGUCAGAGUACAUUUCUAUUUGAUCAGAUUUUAAAAAAAAGUAAGAUCCCUUAUUCUCUGUUUUUCUCUAAGAUUUAAUCAUCAAUCUUAGUGGGGUCAGUUGAGAAAAGUAAUCAUUGCAACUUAUUCUAUUAUAUACUGAAUUUCUAUUCUAUUUGGAUAACUUGCAUUAAGCCCUUAUAUUCUGAAGCUUAUCCACGAGGCUAAAAUCCUAGAAGUUGCUUGGAAAACAAGCAAUUAAGGUAACAAAAACUUUUAAUAGCACCAUAGAUUAAAAGAUCUGGAUGUGGAGGGGACGUAGUCCCAAUAUUCAAUUUUUCUUGUAGGGGUGUUGUGUGUUUAUAUAUUGUGUUGUUUGUUUAUAUAUUAUUUAAAAUUGUAAAAAUAUUAUAUUUUGAUGGUUUAGUAUUGAAGUGUUUUUUUUAUGCUAAAUAGACUUUUUGAAUGUAGUGGAUCGUGUUUGAAAUGAUAUUGUAUGGUGAAAAUGGUAUGAAAUUAAAUCCAUACAUUUGGGAUAAUGUAUGGACUGAUGUUUGUUAUAUAUUAAAUAUUGAUGUCUAUGUGGUAACAGAGAUCUCUGAGCUUCAUUGUUGAUCUAAGUCACAUAGACUAAGAUAUUAGGUGGUGAGAAGCUGAUGGGGGAGUUUAUGCACACCGUGACAUAUGAGAUGCACGACUUGUGUUGUAUUGAACUUACCCUGAUCCUUUCUCUUAGAUUUACUGAUAAUCUUUGAAUCAGGUGUUAGUUUUUUGUAGGACUUACUUAAUACGGGUCUUCCGGAAGACAUUGUUAUUUUGUUUGUUAAAUAUCCUGGAUGUGUAGAUCUAUGUGAUGAUUUUAUGUUGCGAUUUGAAGAAUAUUGAAUAAUUCGAAAAUUGUUUUCAUGUAAUUUUUCUCUUUUGAUUUAGUUGUGUAUAUUAUAAAAUUUUAUUUUCACUAGUUUAUCAUUGUUGCUUUUUUUAUUGUAUUUGAACUGCGAUGUUUAUACUAUGUACACCAUACAAGUGCAGGAGAGUCUGAAAGGCUUUAAAGUUUUGUUUUGAACUAUGAAUUGUAAAUAUAUUUGUAUUUUUAUAAGUCAUAAUCAUGUAUUAGGAAUGUUUUGAAAAACUCUAAGCUUGUAUAUAAAAAUGUAGAACUUGUAUUGUAAUAAUUAGAUGUAUUUUUGGGUGUUACAAAUAAUAUCUUGCAUAAUUUUAAAAGAAAAUUAAGUUAGCAUAAAAAAUUAAUACAUAAAUACGAAUGUAAUAUGUCAUCUUAUUAAUGUAAUUUGAUUUGUUCGAAAUGAACUUAAUUAAUGCUUUGGAUCAAUAUAUUUUAUUUGUGUUGAUUGAGGUGUGCUUUUGAAAAACCCUGGACUCGAUAUUAUUUUGUUUCGAUGCGUUAUCCAUAGAUGUUUUAUCGAUCCAAUACCACUAAAAAGACCAACCCCAGAAAUUAAAAAUAAAUAAAUCAAAAUAUAAAGUUUUUUUUAUAGGUUUUUAUAAAUGUGAAAACAAUCUCUAUCAAAAUUUCCACUUAAUAAAAUUAUGAUUAUGAGUGAAAAAACGAAUUAGUUUGAACCAUUUGUUUUGACUAUUGUUGAUCCGUCAAAAAUAUGCCUUGAUCUGAUUGUCAAAAGAUGGAUUAAUAGGUUAGUUCGCCAGUUUUUUUUUAUUUUUUUUAUUUUAAUAUAUAUUUUAAAAAUACACCUAAUUGUAUAAAUAUUUUUAAAACGUUUAAUUGAUUAAUUAAUAUUUUAAAUUAAAUAAACUAAAAAAAAUAUUACUUUUACAUAAAUUAUUUCAUUAUAAUUAGUAGUUGAAACUUAACUAGUAAUGGUUAACGAUUUAAAUUACAUAUUUACGUCCUUGGGAUAAUAUAAUAUAAUAACAAAAAAUUAUUUUUUACUUUAAUUUUUAAUUACAAAAAUAGAUAAGAGUCAACUCGUUCUUUCUCAUCUCUAUGCGCAUAUUUAACAUAAUAGCAAAAUGGGUCAAAACAUAUUCAUAGGUUAAAAAUACCAACUUGACUCACUAAAUUAUGCCAAACUGACAAGUAGAUUUGUCCAAGUUGAUGAAUUUUAUGAUGCCUAAUCAUGAUAAAUAAGUAAUUUUAUUAAUAAGUAUAUUUUUUACCUUUUUAACAUGAAAGUUUAUCCUUUAUAAAUUACCCAAUGCAAUUACAAAUUUCAAUGGAAACGGUAAAAUACCAAUAAAUCAAAAUUGAAAAAACAAUAGAAUUUUAUAUUUGAUUUUGAAAAUAGAUUGAAUCCAAUCAAUAUCUCUUUCUCUCACAAAUGUCCUAAUGAAAAUUGUGAGGCUUGAUUCUAAAAAGGAAUGGAGAGCAAUAUGGUAUCCAUUAAAAUGGAUUGAUUCAAAUUUAAAUGUAUGUGAUAUGGAACAAAGAGAAUGCUCGUGGAUUGGGGAUUAAUUAGAGUCUCGGUUCUAUCAGUGGAUUGACCGACCUAAGGCCCAAUCUCAGUAGGCCGAUCAAUGGUAUAAAUCUUAUCACACUUAAGCAGAAUCAACAAAUCUAAUCCGCGGUUAGCAGCUAGGUAAUGCAACCCUAAACGUGAACCAACUCCUUAACCUGACUCAAUAAGGAAAGCCCAUUACAGGUAAUAUAAUUAGCACACAUUUCAAGGAGCAGGUACGUCAUUAAUUACUGUACUUCUCCAACGUCCUUUACUGACUUAAGCGUCAGAGUGUCUUCUGCAGGUACCCCCAUUCGGCAUUCUCCUCAGAGACUGAGCAAUCAGGCGGUCGAGACUUAAAAGAGUAGCACGAAGACUAAAGGAGUAGGCUGAAGUGCGAGCUAACCGACUGAUAGGAGGAAGGAAGACUAAGCCAAUGAACAGUUCUUUAGGUCCCAUCUCCCUAAUAGGAACAUUGAACUUUAAAUUAAGUCGAUUACAUGAAGAAUUAAGAAAAAUAAAAUGAUUUGAUAAGAUGGGGUAAUUUUUCUUUUCAAAAUAAGUUGAAAUUAUUUUUUGAUAUUUCUUCCGUAAUAUUAUUCAUAUUAAUUUUAGCAUACACAAUUUGAAUAAAUAAUGAAUCUUUCUUUAAUUCGUCUUUCCUAUAAAUAGGAUAGUUGGGUAAUUCAUUUUUAUAAAACUUUUAUUUCUGUAUUAUUAUUUUAUCUAAGAUAAUUAUAUUGUUAAUAUGAAAGAAGCAACAAAAACUUGACGAAGAAAUCUGAAAUUUUAUCUAAAAGGUUGACGAAAUUUUAUCCGAUUAUUUGUGUGAAUGAGUAAGUCUAAGUUUAUUUAUUCUUAAAAUUUUAUAUGGAAAGAAUUUCUAUUUUUUAGAAGAUUUUUCUAAUUGAAUUAUGUUCAUGGGUAAUGUUGCCGAUGAUUUUGAGAUAAAGGAGAGUUAAGGUUUGGGUCACAACAUUCCUAUUUGAGGAAAUGAGCCAACAAAAUUCAAGUUAGGAAAGUUAACAUUUAAAGACAAUAACAAAGAUGCAUGAUACGCAAUUGUCAUAGUGAUUAUAACAUGUUAUGUUUGUUUGAAACCUUGUUUUUGUAUUAUUUUAGAUAUUUAAGUCAUUGUUUGGUUGGUUGUUGAUGAUCUGAAGGGUGAGAAACUUGCUUGUUGAGGGUGAAAAUGGAGGUUUCCUCCAUGAAAAGGUUUGCUUUGAGCCUAUUUUUUUUUAAACGAGAGUGUGAUGAUGUUUAUAUGACACAAAGUGGUGCAAUUUUCGCUGAAGCGAAAGUAUAACGAUGUUGAUGUGACUUAAAGCAAGCGAUAAAUUUUCCGCUCAAGUGGAAAAUGCUCCAAAAAAAAGUUUUUCUUAGAUCUAUUUUAGCUCAAAUGGAAUUUUUUUAACUUAGGCACACAAAAAUUCGCUAAAGUGAAAAUAGUCCAGUGGAAAGAGAAUCAGUUUAGGUUAAAUUUUGCUGAAACGAAAAUCAACUAGAAUUGUUGGACAUUUAUGAACCUCUUUGAAGUAAAAUUGAGUAGUUAUGCACAUGUUCUUUGAGGUAAGCAAUAUGAGGCUGAGUAGAGUCAGAAAUUGGUGUCCAUAAUCUAUUACUUGUGUGUGAGACCGAGUAGAGUGAGAAAUUGGUGCCCGUAAUCUACUGAAAUUUGUUGAUGAUUUGUUUGGUAAUCUACCAAUGAUGACUAAUUUUUUUUUAUCAAACCACUCAUAAUUAUUGGUAUAAUUAUUAAGAAUAGUUUAAUUUUUUAGAAACAAAAUACUAUUAAUAAAAAUAGCUCAUUUAAAGAGAUUACCUCCUCCUCAUUGCCUUUUCUACUUGGGAAUGUAAUGUUUACCCUCUAAUUUGUAUCAUAUUGAAAUGCACAAUACUAUAUUUUAAUAUAACAUUUUAUUACUAAAUACAAAAAAUUAUUAUUAUCAAAAUAAUAUUAAUAGUGUUCAUCAAGGAAGUAUCCUUACAAAUGUUAACCACUAAAUAAUAUUAAAUAAUCAUUAUAAAUUUUAACUAAUUUUUUUUUCACAUCUUAAAUAAAGUAGAGUGCCAUUGCUAAAAAGUUUUAACAAAUGUUAAUAAAAAAUGGUUCUCACCUAAAUAAGAAAUAAAUCAUUUUAACAAUGUCAAUAAAAUAUAAUUUCUAUCAAUGUUGAUUAAACAAUCCCAACUUACAUCGACCACAAUAAUUUCAUUGAUGUCGAUAAAAAAAAAUCUAAUUGGUAUUUAGCCAAAAAAUAGUCCUAUUAUUGUUGGUUGAGAAAUAAUUCUAACAUACAUUUUAAAUAAAAUAUUUGAUGAUAAACAAUCUUGAAUUAUAUCAAUUGAAACUAAUUCAAAUUGAUAAAAAUUGUGUUUUAUAUCAAUUGAAAAUAUUGUUAACAUUGACAAUGAAAAAUUUGGCUAAUAACAGUUAAGAAAUACAAACCUAUAUUGGUAAAAAAAAAAUUGAUAAUAACUAAAAAUAAAAAUUAACUUUAGAAGAGAAGAACUUUAAUAAAGCUUAAAUUAUGUUUUUAAAAAACUUUUUUUUUUUGCAUUUAAGCCUAUUAGACACUUUAAGGUUGUCUAAUGAUUUUAUAAAAUAAUUCAUAAUUGUUUUAAAAAAUGUUUUAUGACAACUAAGAGUGAUAAAACACAAGUAAUACAAAAAGACAAUAAUCACAAUGAUUUUUAUACUCGCCCACCCUUAACCUGAGUUGCGUCUAAUGGUUUUAUAAAAUAAUUCAUAUUUUUUUUUCAAGCAUGUUUUACGACAACUAAUAGUGAUAAACAUAUGUUAUACAAGAAGACAACUAACACAAUGAUUUGUAUACUUACUCAUGCUUAACUUGGUUGCAUCUAGUUUUUCAAUGUCAAUAAUAAAGAGCUAAACUGAUCAAACAUGAUUACAAGUUGUCUUACUACUACUUUUGACUAUUCACUAAUCUUCCCUUAAGAUUAAAUAUGAGUACACAAGGUCUCUACAGAAAAUGUACACAAAUCCUAUACAAGAAAAGUAAACAAAAUAUUUCUAGGCUAUACAACAGAUAUGUUGUUUAUAUAAGACUCACACAAAAACGAGUGGAUAUGAAAUCUAAAACUACUUAUACUAAGAGAUAACUUCACAAAAAUAACAAAUUUGCAAAUACAACACUCUCUUUCUGUUGUCUAACAAACAUUUUUUCUUAAGCACUUAAAAAUUAAGAAAGAAUGGUCAUAUGAGCUUUUGUACACUUGUUGGUUCAACAAACUCAUAUGCAUGGUGAAACUUUUAUUUAUGAGUUAUAAAAAUGCUCGUUUUGACCUAAUGCUUUGGACUUUGCGUUAGUGUUUUAUUAGUGAUUGUUUGUCUUUAUGUUGACACUUCUUUGUUAAGCACCUUUUCUUUAGGUGAAGAACAAACUUUAGUAGUUAUCUCUAUUAUACUAAUUACACUAAAAUGGGCAUACAAUGCUCAUGUGUAGGUUGGCAAAUGUCAACAUUUGCUUUGAAAAUUUUUAGAAUCCAUUUGGAACAAAUAAUCUUCCAUGUGUCCAAGGUUGCAAUUUUUAAAAUGUUCCUAAUUAUAUGAUUGUUUAGUCUUGAUGUAAGUGUUUACUGCUUAUAGACUUGUCUAUUCAUUAAGAUCUUACAUCUAAUGUUUUUUUAGAUACUCGUUUGGUCUUUGUUGACUUUUAUCUAACGUUUUAAGCAAAAAUGUCCGAGCUCCUAUAUGCUUAAUGAUUUAAUAGGGUGUGUCUCGCAAACAUUUAUAAAGUGAUAUUGAUCAUAAAAAUUUAUCAAUUAUUUUUAUAAUACAUUAACAAACUUGUUAAAUGACAAAAAAUUUGAAAUUAUUUGUUAUUAAACAAAAUUUUCUUAUCUCUAUAAAUUGUCAUGUUUUAAUGAUAAUAAAAAAAAUAAUUUGGAUUCAUUUUAACCUAAAAGAAACAUCAUCAACAUCAAUAAAAGAAAUUUUUAUAUAAUAAUAUUCAAACUGAAGCCACCUAAACUCUAAAAACACUCAACUUAAGAAAAAAAAUACGAAAAAAAUAUAAAUAAAGUAGAAAAAUAAAUUAAGAAGUAUUUUAAAUUCUUUAUUUUUAAAUAAAAAUUAAAUUAUUCAAUUUAAUUAAUUAAGUUAUUAUGAUAGAUUUAUAAAAAUUUACAACCAAACAAUAUACUUUAUUAUAAAAUAUUUUAAAUUUUCUAUAAAAAAUAAACUACUUUUAAGGGAAUAUUGUGUCUAUAACUUUUGUUACCAUUACUAGACAUCCAUGAUAUGUGUCUUGGUUAUUCAUAGAUACGUUUAAAGACUAACUUUCAUUUUAUUUUAAUUGUUGAUACUGGUUACCACGUGAUUUGGGACUAACCCUAAAUUGAGUAGCAGUAUCAUAAUUUUAUUUAAGUGGAGAAGUUAUUAAUUUAUAAUUUACUUUUGUAUUAAUAAUAGAUAAGAUACGUCCAUAAAAUAAGAUAAAUGGAAGUUUGCAUGGGUGGGUGAAGGAGAGUGAAGUGAAAGUUUGAUGGGAUAGGAAGAUAAGAUAGGAGGUAGAAGAAGAGAAGAGAAGUUAAAAUUGGAGUGUAACUGUAAAUAAAUAUAAUGAAAAGCUAAAGACAGAAAAGUGCACCGUCACCGUAAUCAAACGGUGGUCCAGGAGGGUGGUUGUAUCCAGUGGAGGCUUUAACUUACGAACUUCUCCUUAUAAUCACACCCUCACCGUCGCUUCUUCUUUCUCUCUCCACUCCCAUUCCACACCCUACCCACACUCUUCUUCUCUCCCACGCUUUUUCUUUUUUAUUAUUAUUAUCAUUAGGGUUUUCAUUUGGGGAAAUCAAAAUAGGGGGAAAUACUCUGGAGGAGAGUGUGUAGAAAACAUGGUUGUCGAUGAUAUGACGAAGUGCAUCAUCGUCGGCUAUGGAGGUUCCUCUUCUCGAUUUUCCGAUGCUUAUCCCAAAAGGUAAUAAUUGUUACUUCAACAUCUCUCCCUCUCUUUCAAAACCUACUUUUCUAUUCUCUCAUGGAUUUCAUGCUUUUCAUUCAGUGCUUUCCCCCUGAUUUUCGAGGGAUUUUCGAGUUUCCUGGAAUAGGAUUAAAUAUAGUUCCCCUCUAGCGUUUUCGAAAUCUCUUCCUCUCUUCUAGAGAUCGAAGAGAAAUCAUUCUCACUCUCUCUCUGUUAUAUUUAGAUAGCUAGAUAGAUAGUUAAUUCGCUACCUCUGCUCUUUGUUAUUGUUCAGGUUCUGGUUCUCGUUUAGAUCUAUUUUUUUUUAUUGAUUUAUAAGAAAAAUAGAAGAAUUGUUAUUAUUUUCUAUAGGUUGGAUUUGUUGAUUUUUUUUCUCUCUUGUUUUUUCGACUCAAUUGAUAAAUCUAGGGGUUUGAUGGAGGGGAGAUAUAGUGGGGAUUGAUAUGAUGAAGGUGUUUAUAAGGUUGUUUUGUUGAAUUGUUUUUGGGAUGGCAAUAUUGUACGAACCAGCAAUAAAACACAACAGCGAGAUGAGGUAGCAUGGGUCUUGCUUCUUUGUCAAUGGAGAAUCACCACCCUUCCACGCUCUUGUCAAUGGACUCAAGUGCAUCUUCUCAUGAGGAACUGGAUUUGGAGAUGAAUCGCCAAAUCAUACUCUCUCGCCCGCCCGAUAUCAACCUGCCCCUCUCAGCCGAGCGCAGCCCUCCCCCACAGCCGUGGAAUUCUGAGCCCUGUGAUAUUCUUGAUGUUGGUCUUGGCACCCAAGGGUAUGAGACUGAGAGUUUUAUUAAUCUGCCCAAAGCUGGAAGGAAGUGCGCUAAACGCGUUGAUAGCAUAUGGGGUGCUUGGUUUUUCUUCAGUUUUUACUUUAAACCUUCUCUAAAUGAUAAGUCUAAGGCCAAGAUUGUCAGGGACAGCAACGGUGUUUCAGGGUUCGAUAAAUCUGAUCUGAAGCUUGAUGUUUUCAUGGUUCAACAUGACAUGGAAAACAUGUACAUGUGGGUUUUCAAGGAGAGGCCUGAGAAUGCGCUGGGUAAGAUGCAGCUGAGGAGUUACAUGAAUGGGCAUUCCCGUCAAGGGGAGCGCCCCUUUCCCUUUAGUGUCGACAAGGGUUUUGCUCGAUCCCACAGGAUGCAGCGAAAGCAUUACAGAGGAUUGUCAAACCCUCAGUGUGUGCAUGGCAUUGAGGUUGUUUCCGCACCCAAUCUGAUGACCCUGGACGAGGAUGAUCGAAAAAGGUGGAUAGAACUCACGGGGCGAGAUUUGAAUUUCACAAUCCCACCAGAAGCAAGUGAUUUCAGUUCAUGGAGAAAUCUUCCCAACACGGACUUUGAGCUUGAGAGACCACCUCCCCCAAUCAAGAAUGGUCCUAAUGCUCACCCGAAGAAACUGCUUAAUGGAUCUGGACUGAAUUUGUCAAGUCAUCUAUCUAACCACAGUAAUGGCGAUGGCUUGGACCUCUCUCCUGUCAGCAGCAAGAAGAGGAAGGACUUUUUCCCUCAUGGAAAUGAAGAAGAAUGUUACUUGGCUGUUAAUCCUCCAUCUGAUCGUAUUCCAGAUAUAGAAAUGCACCCAAGCGAGCCACACUGGUUGAAUGACUUCAGCGGGGUGAUAAAGAGUGUUUAUGGACCUGUUACAGCUGCAAAAACUAUUUAUGAGGAUGAACAAGGUUACUUGAUCAUCAUUAGUCUGCCCUUUGUAGACCUUCCAAGUGUGAAAGUUUCGUGGAGGAACACUCUGACUCACGGUAUCAUAAAGGUUUCUUGUAUGAGCACAUCUCGAAAACCUUUCAUCAAGAGACAUGACAGGACAUUCAAACUUACAGAUCGAUCGUCAGAGCACUGCCCUCCUGGAGAGUUUGUCCGAGAAAUCCCUCUUUCAACCCGAAUUCCUGAAGAUGCCAACAUAGAAGCAUACUAUGAUGGGCCAGGAUCAGUGCUUGAGAUCCUGGUGCCAAAACAUCGCGUGGGUCCAGAAGAGCAUGAAGUCCGUGUUUGCCUCCGCCCUCAUCUGGGAGGGAAUGAUCUUAAGUUAACAUGAGAUAGGCACUAAAAGAUUGUUAGGAUUUCAGUUUGGUGCGCAUGUCAUUGUUUCUAACUAUGUACCAUACAGUGUUAUCUGCAAUAGAAUUGUGUCUUAUAUACUUGUCUUGUCUCUAGCAAUUUUAGCUCACUGACUGCUCUUGUUCUUUUUGUUCCGGAGCAUCUGUAUGCUUUUGAUUACCAGUAUUGAACAACUAGUUCUCAUAAUUUAUAUGAAAUUAUCAAAUCAAUGCCUUUGAAAUUAUUUGUCAUUUGAUUUCGACCUUUAAUUGGAUUCUGAUUUAUUAUGCUGUUGUCGUAAUUAUCUCUUAAUUUGAAUAGAAUUGUAUUCAAGAGUAGAUGAUAGUUUUGCCUCCCCAUGUGUGUUUAUUCUUGGGAAUACAUCCCUGCAGUUGCAAUGUAAAAGAGUCGUGAUAGAGUUAACUUCCACUACUGUACAAUGAUGAAUCUAACGAACAAAUAAACUGCUCCAAUUGGUCUCCAUGACUGUGUUACUAUAUUAACGUCGUUCGUUAUCUUAUACAGGACUGGGUGGGUUUCUAACGGAAAGUCUGAAACCAUUGGCCAUAAUAUCCACACCUUUUCUAACAGAAAUUUCAAUUCGAGGUACCUACCUUUUUAGACUAUGUUGGAAUAUUGGUAAAAAGAACAAAGUCAACACCCACUAUUAAAUUAGCAAACCUGAAGAACCUGUUACCUGUGGAAUAAUUUUAUUGUUUUCUGAAAUUUCCAAAAAUGAUACGUUGACUAAAUAAUACAAGAUAUUUUACCAAUCUCGUUAUGUGAUUCCUAUGAAGUUUGUAAUGGACUAAGGUUUGAAACGAUGUUGUGGGUGUCCAGAGAAAAAGGAGGCAUAGGGGGAUAUUUUGGGUAACAGAAGGAGCAGGAAGCAAUUGUUGACUAAAAGAUUGGUGUGUUUGUGUGGUGAGUGUUUAGAGCGCAAUGGAUGGAUGGAUGAGAUAGAGUGGAGUGGGGAAGUGUUUCCUUCAUGUUUGUUGGGGAAGGAUGAUGAUUUUCUCCCUCUCCUUUUUUCAUCAGUGCAUGUCCUUUUCUUUUAUUUUCUCUCUCUAUUUGCUCAUUAAAUAUUUACUCUUCUCAUUUACGUGUUAGGAUGCCUACCAUCCUCUGAUAAACAGAUGGAUAACCAGUGGUCCAGUUAACCUUUAUUUUUGGAAAGGAGUGCCACUGGGGGUCAAUUUCAUAUUCAAAAUUCCUUUUAUUAUUAUUAUUUCUUUAUAUAGUUAACAACUCUCCCACCAAUAUCUAAUUAGUGCUUUUUCUAUCUUUUCAUUCUAGUAAAAAAGGACGUAGAAUAAUUUCUUUCAAUUUAUAGAAACUACCUUACUUUUCAUCCUUUUCCCAAAAAGCUUUGUGCCAGUUUAACCAACCAACCAAAAUUGAAAUUUAAUGUGAAUGUUUUCGACAAAACUCAUACUUUUUAAUUAACUCUAAAAAAUCAAUAACUUCUGAUUUAUAAGAUUUACAUUUUGUUUGGAAUCAUUAGAAAAUUAAAGUGAAAAUAUACCAAGUUUUUAAAAAAUCAUUCAAAGUUAAACUAAAUUUCCACAAUAAAAUAAGUAUUUUUUUUCAGCAAUAAAUAAUAUAAUAUAAGUGAUACAAGGGAUACAAAUAUACACAUAUAUACAAUAUGUAUGAUUAAAGGACCAUAUCUAUAAACAAUAUGACAAAAACAUCAUUUAAUUACAAUUUUUUUUAUUAUCAAAACUAUCAUAUAAGUAAUUAUAUAGAACUCGUUGUCAAAAGUAUAAUUUUCUUACUACAACCAAUGACAUUACCUAUUUCCAUUCCACGCAUACUUUAUUUAUCAUUGUCCUAUGCACCUGAGUUUUCCUCCACCUGCAUAAUUUUGUGACACUUCAUUACCAUCCCAAACAUACUAAUCAAAGAACAUACCCAUGAAUGCACCUUGUCUGUAUAAAAUCCCCAAUAUAUUUACAAGAAACUUCUGUACCAGAGGCAUAUCUGCUAUUAAUAGUAGAACCAAAGAACACCCUACUUUUAUACGUUUAGAAUCAUAUACACCUUCCAACCAUCCCACUCUGCCUUCUCUGCUCACAACCACUUCAUCCAAUCUAUUUACACAUGCACAGUCCACGGCAGAAGCAUCAUUGGAAGAAUAAUGGACAUUCCACAUUAUCUAUCUUCUUAUGCCACUUCCAUGAGUACAUCUUUAUCUGCUGAAUACUUUCCCUCCAAAGUACACUUGUUUUCUCUCCACAAACUCAAAGUAAUUGCAAACCAUAAUAUACUCCACACCUCUUAAAAAUACAUUCCCCUUGCUUAUGUUGCCAGAAAUGUGCUUCCACUGAUCCAGAAAACCAAUGUUUACCUCCACCAGCCAUAACAUGUUUUUCAUACCCAAUCCACCUUACGACAACUGAACAAAAUAUGCUUGAAAGAGUCUGGUUCCAACUUACACAUAGGUCAGAGUCAGGUUGGAGGAUAUUUCUCUUACUCAAUUGAUGCAUUGUUAGUAACAUAUUCUUAAUCGUUAUCCAGAUACAAAAAAAACUUACUCUGCAAACAUAUAUCAGACUAAAAGUUUACACUAUUCUCAUCAAACCACCCAUUCAGACUCUUUUUUCAAAACACCAUCUUUAAAUACCUCCACCAUGAAGUUGCUUUUCUGAUAUCCACUUUUUUGUCUUACUUCAUCCCACCCACCAUCCAUUUACUUAAUAAGGCCUUAUUAAACAAAUUUACAUGUUUUACCCCUAAACCACCUACUUCCUUAGGCCUACAAAUCCCAUCUUUUCUAGCAGAUCUUUCUUCUCUCCCACAGAUAACCAUUCUUCAAUUGAACUAGCUUUUUCACAACUUUUUUAGGGAUCUUAUAGAAGGAUAUGAAAAAUAAAGUAAUAACCAAUAGCACAACUUUGACUGUAUACAAAGUCUCUCAACAUGUGAUACCAGUUUUCUCUUCCAAUUCCCUUUCUUUGAUUAGUUAGCACUAAUAAAUAGUCCUAAGUAUGUGAAAGGAAAAGAAAAGGUUCCACAAUUGAGUUUAUUAGCCAUAGCUUCCAAAAUGCUUCAAAAACUUUUAUUUGAACCACACUACCAAAUACCUUCUUUAAUCUCCUCCUUAGUGAACUUAUAUACAAGACUAUUAAUUUUUUGUUUCUGAGAUCCUUCUGAAUUGUACAUCAUCUAGUUGAAUGCUACCUUUGCUCUUCCCAUCAAAUAUAUUCUUAAAGUAUCUUUUCACCUCGUCCUUAACCUUACAAGGCUCUUGCUCCCAUGUUCCUCUGAUGAAAAAUCCCUCCCAACAUAUUCUUACUCCUUUUCCUGUUAAGAUAAGAAUGAAAGAAUUUAGAAGUCUUGUCUCCUUCCUCCAACCAUCUUAUCUUAGUUUUUUUGUCUAUAUACCAAGAUUCAUUUGAUUUUGCUAGUUCCAAAAAUUUUCUGCUACAGUAAGCAAUUUUCCCAUCUUUCUUCACCUUCUAAACUCUACACCUCUUCUUUGAUGUUUAGCUCAUUCAACUUAUUUACCACCUUUUGAAUAUUUACUUCUAUGUUUCCUAUUCACACCCAAUAACUUUCUCUCUCUCGUUCAUUCUUAUUAUAUCGAGAACUUGUUCCAAUAUAUAAUCACUGAUUUAUGAUUUAUAUAUGAAGAAAUUGUAUUUUGGUCAAAUUUUAUAUAAAUAGAUGAGAUUGUAUAUUGGUGGAAGUUGUCAAAUGUUAUAUUAUUGAAAAACUAAAAUAUCAAUUUCUUGAAGUCUACUUGUCAGCGGAAUUAGAAUUGUGAUAAGAGUGCUUGGAAUGUCACUCUUCAAAUGGUAUAUUGAACUAAAUAACAUUUUAAACUAGCUUUUAAUAUAUUAUUAUACUUGUAAAUUAAUCUUUUAACAUUAUUAUUCUAAAACUAAAUCUGCAGUAUUUUUAAAAAAAAUAAAGUAAUACACUCUUAAAUUAUAAAUUGAAAUAUACAAUGUAAUACGCGUUUCCUCAUUUAUUUCAAUUUAAGCUUAAUUUGAAGUUUUGUGAUUUAUGUUUCUAUUGAGUUAAUAGUAAAAUUUAGUGUAUUUUUUUUUCUAGUGCAGAAGUUACUUAAUAUUUUUUUUCAACUCAGUCAAUUUCCGAUGUAAAAUCAAAUUAAAUUGGUUCAAGCUCGUAAAAACUAUCUAAAAUCAAAUUAAUAACCAUUUUAACGUGAUUGUUAAGAAUUUAAAAUGAAAUCAAACACACACUCGAGAAUAAAUCUAAUUUUCAUCUAUAACAAUAUACAAGGUAGAUUUUUUUUUACAUUUUUUAAUUUUAUCGUUUAUAAUAUUAAAUAUAAUAAUUAUUUAUUUUAAAUUAAAAUUUUGAAUUUUAAAAAUUUAGAAAAAAUUGACUUGUAUAAAAAACAAAUAACCCAAUUUCUUACAAAUUUACUCUUACUUUUUUUAAAAAAUUCAAAUAAUUCUUCCCAAUUAAAAACUACUUACACAAUAAAAAAUUGCAUACAACAAAAUUAAAAAAAUUAUUUAUUUUAUAAUUGCUUUUAAUAAAUUUUUUAUAAUUUAAUAAUAUAUUUUUAUUUCAAUAGUUAUUAUAAUAAUAGUAAUUUAAUAAAAAACAAUUGAAUUGUUUUUAAAUAAUAAUGUACUUUAUUUAGAUUAUUUAACUUUUAAUAAAAAUAAUAAUUUUUUAUUUAUUUAAUAAAAUAAAUAAUUGAAUAAUUUAUUUUUAUUUUAAAACAGUUAAAUAACUUCUCUUUUUAUAAAUAACGAUUAUAUAUAUAAUAGUUGUUAUAAUUUAAUAAAAAAAAUUAUUUCUUNNNNNNNNNNNNNNNNNNNNNNNNNNNNNNNNNNNNNNNNNNNNNNNNNNNNNNNNNNNNNNNNNNNNNNNNNNNNNNNNNNNNNNNNNNNNNNNNNNNNAAGUAUAUAUAUAUAUAUAUAUAUAUAUAUAUAUAUAAGAGAGAAAGAGAGAGAGAUUAAUUAGUUUCUUCAAUCAUAAAAGAUUUUGAUUAUAUUUGAUGCAUUUUAAAGCAUAAUAUCAUUAAACAAAUGUUUGAAUAAUUUGAAUUUAAAUAUUAAUAUUAAUGUUCGUUUGAAUUUAUUAUUAAUACAAGUUUGAACUUAUUAAAAUAAAAUCAAUUUAGUGGUGUAUAUAUUAUAAUAAUGACGACUUUUUAUUAAAAUAUUGAAAGAUAAAAAUUUGAAUGUGCAUGUUGUCUUUACAUAAACAAUUAAUUAAUAACCUAAUGCAGAUAUUCAGUUUUAAUAUUAUUGUGAUCCUACAUGUAUAAAGAGUAUUGUUAUUAUUUGUUUUUUUAUUAUAAAAAUUAUUAGUUAUUAGAUGUGUUAUAUAUUUUUUUUCAAGAACUUGUUUUUGUUCCGAUAAUUUAAAAUAAGAACAUUUAUAAUGCGCAUUGUUUUUUUUUCUAAACAAAACAAACUGUUAGUUAGAAAUAAGUAAAAUAAUAUUUGUAUUAAUAUAUAAACAUUAAUUUUAAUACUAAUUAAUAAAGAGCAACAUUUGAAAAAAAAAAAUAUGUGUUAAGUCAAUUUAUAGAAGAUUAUCCGAAACUAUAUUAUAGAUCGGAUAAUUUAGAAAUAUUUUGAAUUUAUUGAAUUUCUAAUAUAGUUUUAGAUUAUAUAAUUCAAAAAAUGAUAGAAAUUGUAUAGAAAAUAAUAUAGUUUGUGGAUGUUUUUAUAUUUUCCUUUUUUAUAUUAUUGGGGUGGUAGAAAAUUGUGGUGUUCACGAAGAAGAUAAUUUUUUUUUAGAACAAAUGACUUAAUCUUCGGCUUAGAGUUGUAAAUACAUAUUCAGUUUAGGACGAGUUUAGUCAGGUAUUAGAUCAAACUGAGUUGGUCUAGUAAAGUCAACUUGAGUUAGUUCAAGUUCAAGUAGAUUCGAGUUAGUUCGGAUUUAGGUCGAGUCGAGUCGGCUUGGGUUCAAGUUGAGUUGUGUUGACUCUAAGCCAAGUUGGUUUGGGUCUAAGCCAAAUUGAAUUGGUUUGGACUAGAUUUAGCCAAGUCGACCUGAAUUAGAUUGAGUUAAGUCAUGUUGGGUUAAUUAGAUAGAGUCAAAUUGACCUAGAUUGAGUUGAGAUUCUACAUCAAAUCGAUCCCACAUUAAAAUUAAUUUAAUUAACAAAGUAAAAUUAAUUUAAAUUUAAUCUAAUAAAAAUAAAAUUAAAAGUAACUAAAUUUUUUUUAUCUAUGAAUCUGAAUUUCAAAUCUAAUAUUGGAUUUUGAUUGGAUUUAGACUGAAUUUCAAAAUCCAAUUGUUGACCCACCCUAACAAUAAACAUAUAAGUAUCUCUUAAUUUAAGUUUAGUUUAUAAUUAUAUUGGUGAAGAUUAUUAUUCUUCGAUGUUGGUGAGUUUGUGCAAAAGAGUUAAAUAGGCACCAGGUAUUUCUAAUGAAGUGUACAUAUAACCUUUAAGAAAUGAAAAUUAAAAUAACUUCAGUUUAAUAUGUUUUUCAUUUCCUUAUUUUCAUAUGAAAUUGAUUUUUUUUAAUUUAAACUUUAUAGCCCAUGUGUACUUAUAUUAAUAUUUUUAUAAUAGUUAUGUAUGCAUACAUGUAAUAUUAUUUAAUUACUUUUAAAAUAAAUUUAUUAAAUUUAUAAUAAUUACUUUUAAAAUUAUAUCAUUAAUGUCUUUAAUUAAUUUACAUCAAAAUAUAUUUACAUUAACAAUACACGUGGCAUGUCUAUAAAGUAAAAGAAUCAAAUAAUGUAACGCUAGAAUUAGUCUAACGGCAAGUUCUUAAUAUUUUUGUUCAUUAUUAAAUAUUGUUAUCGUUUUAGUUAAAAAUCUUAAUAAUUUUAUCGUUAUUAAAUGAUAAUACUUUUCAUCGAGAAUGUUUAAAAUGGGUCAUAUUUUAAUUUGAGAAUUUUAUUGUAUAAUAAAUAAAUUUUGUCUAUUCGUUUAAUAAAAUAAAUAAUUUUUAAUAUUAUUUUUUUGAAUUAUGACUAUUUUAUGUUUUAGACGUAAUUGUAUGAUAAUAUAUAUAUAUAUAUAUAUAUUUAUUUUUACUAUUAUUUAUUUUUUGAUAUAAUAAAAUAUGUUUUCCGCUAAGUAAAAAUGUAAAUACCCCUUUCCGUAGUAAUACAAAUUAUUAAAAUAGAUUUUUGAAUUAAUUGGCAACCUCACCAACCUUAUCUAUGUGUGUCUGUUUCUUUAGAAUGCGAAAGUAAUAAACACAAUGGGCUUAUAAAUUAUAAAUUAUAAAUGAUGAUGAAACGCAUGUAAUUGCUUCUUCUUUCUCUCUCCGCUCGAUUUCACACAAUUCUUCUGUUUCACACUAACAACAAUUACAAAUAGGGUUUUCAUUUGGGGGACACGAAAUAGGGGGAAGUAUCCAGGAGGAGAAUGUGUAGAGAACGUCGAUCAUCGUCGAUUUUAUGAAGCUUCCUCUUCUUCUCCAAUCUCUGAUGAUUAUCCCAAAAGGUAAUCAUCCUUGAAGAUCUCCAUCCUACUCAGUCUCUCUUUCAAAUUUUUUUUUUUUUUUACUCUCCAAUGGAUUUCAUGGUUUUAAUUCAGUGUUUUUCUCCUCAUUUUGGAGAGAUUUUUGAGUUACGUGGAAUAGGGUUAAAUAUAAUUCCCCUCUAGCGUUUUCGAAAUCUCUUCCUCUCUUCUAGAGAUUGAAGAAAUAUCACUAUGUCACUGGCUGAGUUAUAUAUAGGCAGCUAGAUAAAUAGUUAAUUAGUCAAAUUUUUUUCCUGUUCUUGUUGUCGUUCAGGUCUAUUCUUUUUAUUAAUUUAUAGAGAAAAAUGAAUAAUAAUAAUAAUUAUUAUUAUUAUUAUUUCGAAUAGGUUGGAUUUUUUUUAUUUGUUUUCUCUUUUAUUCAAUUCAAUUGAUAUAUCUAGGACUUGAUGAAGGUGAGAUAUAGGGGGAUUGAUAAGAUGAAGGAGUUUAUAAGGUUUUGUUGAAUUGUUUAUGGGAUGCCAAUAUUGUAAGAAUCGGCGAUAAAACUCAUCACCGUGAUGAGGUAGCAUGGGUCUUGCUUCUUUGUCAAUGGAGAAUCACCACCCCUCAACGCUCUUGUCAAUGGACUCAAGUGCAUCAUCUCAUGAGGAACUGGAUUUGGAGAUGAAUCGCCAAAUUGUACUCUCUUGUCCGCCGGAUAUCAACCUGCCCCUCUCCGCUGAGCGUAGUCCGCCUCUACAGCCGUGGAAUUCUGAGCCUUGUGAUAUUCUUGAUGUUGGUCUUGGCACCCAAGGGUAUGAUACUGAAAGUUUUCUCAUUCCGCCCAAAGCUGGGAGGAAGUGUGCAAAGCGUGUUGAUAGCAUAUGGGGUGCUUGGUUUUUCUUCAGCUUUUACUUUAAGCCUUCUCUAAAUGACAAGUCUAAGGCCAAGAUUGUCAGGGAUAGCAACGGUGUUUCAGGGUUCGAUAAAACUGAUCUGAAGCUUGAUGUUUUCAUGGUUCAACAUGAUAUGGAAAACAUGUACAUGUGGGUUUUCAAGGAGAGGCCGGAGAAUGCAUUGGGUAAGAUGCAGCUGAGGAGUUACAUGAAUGGGCAUUCUCGCCAAGGGGAGUGCCCGUUUCCUUUUAGUGUUGACAAGGGUUUUGUUCGAUCCCACCGGAUGCAGCGAAAGCAUUACAGAGGACUAUCAAACCCUCAGUGUGUGCAUGGCAUUGAGGUUGUUUCCGCACCCAAUCUAAUGACCCUGGAUGAGGAUGAUCGAAAAAGGUGGAUAGAACUCACUGGGCGAGAUUUAAAUUUCACAAUCCCAGCUGAAGCAAGUGAUUUCAGUUCAUGGAGAAAUCUUCCCAACACGGACUUUGAGCUUGAGAGACCACCUCCCCCAAUCAAGAGUGGUCCUAAUGCACACUCGAAGAAACUGCUUAAUGGAUCUGGCCUUAAUUUAUCAACUCAUCUCUCUAACCACAGUAAUGGUGAUGGGUUGGACCUCUCUCCUGUUAGCAGCAAAAAGAGGAAGGACUUUUUCCCUCAUGGAAAUGAAGAAGAAUGUUACUUGGCUGUUAAUCCUCCAUCUGAUCGUAUUCCAGAUAUAGAAAUGCACCCAAGUG